RNAcentral lists this long non-coding RNA (77009 nucleotides) under Coffea arabica (coffee). RNAcentral describes it as "long non-coding RNA (CARA_LNC005848)". Lineage: Eukaryota; Viridiplantae; Streptophyta; Magnoliopsida; Gentianales; Rubiaceae. The record is from RNAcentral.
UUUUUUUUUUUUUUUUUUUUCCCUAAUGGAAUUCUAGAUCUUACAAACCAAAAAGGAAAAAAAAAAAAAGAAACACAGAAUAAUUGUCAAAUUAGAAACCUCACAGUAAUACUUCUUACAAUAUGAUGCCCGUGAGAUGAAACGAUGAUUAAGAAAUAUAUUUAUAAAAGAUGCCAAAAGAAUUUAUCAAAUAAUACCAAAAGGAUGUGAAUCCAAAUGGACUUGGUUACUAGCUAAGCUACAUUUUGGAGAUCCUUCCAUCAUUUUUGUUUGUAAGAAGCCAUUAGAAAAUUGUAAGACUUGAUUUUGUAAAUUAAAUCAUGGGGACUGAAUUGAGAUUCUGAAAUACAGAAAGGACUGAAUUAUAAUUAUUUUUUUUUUUUUUUUUGGGGAAGGCGUUAUUCGAGCUCAUUUUGACUUUAUCCAAGUUUGUCCUUUUGUCCCAAGCAUUUUAUUGAGGUGUUGAUCCAUUGCCGCUAUUUCACCUGUCACUGGAAAUCCUCACGCCCCAUUUACUCCAAAAUGGUGCAAAUUUCAAGCACUACCAAUAUUCAGCCCCCACAAAUUAAAGUAAAAACAUGGACAAAAGAGAAACUGAGACUCUAUUGAAUCAAAUUAAAUGGGGAAAAGACUUUCAGACAAACCAUAACAAUUCAACAAAUCAAGAUUAGAUGGCUCCUUUGUAACUUACUAUAACCACCAAUAGACACCCUUUCAUUCUAGUUAUAGACGAAGAUGCCACAUUUGUAAAAGGGAAUAAUGCGCCAACUCAUUGCCCCAAAAAAUCAAAUCCUCGUGCCAUUAAAAUAUUGUGAUUCUCCAAAUAACCCUAACUCCUACCACUAAGAAAAAGUAGCUGUUUGGAUUGUUAUUUUCUGGAGUUUCUGUAAAAUAUAUAUAUAUAUAUAUAUAUAUAUUAUAGCGAUUUGAUUUGUAUAAGGUGAAAAGGUAAUUAGAAAAUGUAUUUAUGAAAAAUAUACAAAUUUUUCGGGGGAAAAUGUCUUUCCAAAAUAAAACUCAUUCACGUGUUAAUUUGGCUUGUUAUUUUUUAAAGAAAAGAUUUUUACGUUUUCCGUCAAUGCAUUUGUCAAUCACUUUUUUUUUAUAUAUAUAUCUUACAUGCAUCAAAUCGUUGUAACACAUUCUUUCUUUCUGUGAAGAUUUCAAAAAAUAGCAAUCCAAACGGGUUAAAAUCAACGAAAAAUAAAAAAAAAUGUAAAUACAAAAUAGUGAUAGAACCUAAGAAAGAUUAAUGAAUGUGUGACAGAUGAAAUUAAGAAAGUAAUUAUUACUGCAUCUAAAUCCAUUCAUCGUAUAAACACCAAAACACAAAUUAACUAAAAUCAAUGAAAAAUAGUAAAAGACAAUAAAAAUUAUAUGAUAAGACCUAAGAGUGAAUAUGUAACACAUGAAAAUGAAAGGGGGAAAAAAUAAUCAAUAAAUAAGUGCAAAUAAAUACUAGAAAGGAAAGAAGGAGGUCGGUUCCUUGCACCCAACGUAUCUCUUGGUUUUGCCUCGGACUUUGGUUCGGAAUUUGCUUAUGUAUAUGACUUUGAAAGGAUAAGAACAACCCUACCCCCUCUACUACCACCUCCACCCCAGUCCCAUACCAGACCCUCUUCCCUCCCUCUUUCUCUACAACUUUCUCUACAAGUACCCUGCCUCCCUCUCUCCGCCUCCACUUUCUUAGCCCCUCUCCUUAACCCAACAGUCUCUCUCUCUCUCUCUCUCUCCACGAAAUCGCUGAAACACUUACACGCACAACACACACUAGAAUAAAAUCAGCACUCCUCACCCAAGAGAAGUCCAUAAAUGCAUUCAGUAGAAGAAGAAAAUUAGUCCACUCUUCUUUAUACAUAUUGCAAAUACUGGUAAGAAGAAGAAAAGAAACGCUUGCUUAGGCAUUUGCUACAAAUCAUCGAGACUUUCAAGCUGGCGAUCGAAAAUCAAGAAUCAACUGUUCCCCGCGAAUUCAAGCCCAAAAACAGACGCAUCAUGGUAUUGCCAUUUUUCAAUACUAACUGAAUUUGUACAGCAAUCUUGGAGUUUUUUUUGAGAAAAUGGGAAUUUUUGGUCUGUUUUUGGCUGACUUUUCUGAGUCUUGGUUUCUGGUAGGGAGCUGGAGGGCCUGAUGAGGAGGAUAACAGAUGGCCACCGUGGUUGAAGCCUUUGUUGAGGGAACAGUUCUUUGUCCAAUGCAAAAUGCAUGCUGAUUCUCACAAGAGCGAAUGCAAUAUGUAUUGCUUGGACUGUAUGAAUGGGGCUCUCUGUUCUCUCUGUUUGGCCUCUCACAAGGACCAUCGCGCCAUUCAGGUUUGAUUUCAACGAUUUUUGGUGGAAUUUCUUUGGUUCUUCCUCUUUUUUUACCCAAUUUUGGCAUCUGGGCUUCUGCCAUUUUUGUCAAAGUUGCAGCUUUUUGUAUCAGUCCUCCUCUUUUUGCUACUAAUAGCAUUAGAAAGAAAAUUCCCAAAUCCUUCAAAUUCCACCUUUUUCUAGUAUUGUCCAAUUUCUUUACAAUAAUCUCUUAGCUUCAUUUCCGCAUCCCUUUUCAGUUUUUGAACCGUUGACUUCAGAAAUGGCAUUUUUGUAUUCAAUGGGUCGAGUCAUUUUUGUUUCACUGCUGAUGAGUGUAUCGAUUUGAAUAAGCCUAAAAGGGUUGAAUGUGUAUUGACGUCCGGUGCUGUUUCUCUGUGUGUGUGUUUUUUUUUGGCCUGAUGAUGAACAGAUAAGGAGGUCAUCCUACCAUGAUGUGAUCAGGGUGAAUGAGAUUCAAAAGUACUUGGAUAUCUCAUCGGUUCAAACCUACAUUAUCAACAGUGCCAAAGUCGUGUUCUUAAAUGAGAGGCCUCAGCCUAGGCCUGGCAAAGGCGUCACCAAUACUUGUGAAGUCUGUGAGAGAAGCCUUCUUGAUUCCUUCAGAUUCUGCUCUCUUGGCUGCAAGGUAAAUGUCCAUCAAUUUCCAUUGGAACCCAGGAUCCUUCCUUUUCCACUAUUAAUGUCAUCCCAAAAGUUGAAUUGUUCCAAUCAAAUUGGGGGUCUCUGAGAUCAAUGGGCUGUGUUUCUUGUAAAUUGUGAAAAUGAUGAAUGAGCAUUGGAGGCUGUUUUGGCAUUAACGCUAAAGUCAAGAUUUUUGGUAAUUUGUAAAGACCAAAAAGAAUUGAAUAGUAGUCAUUUGUUUUGAUUAAUAUAACUUGAUGGUUGGUUUUGAUUUUUUUCAGAUUGUGGGGACAUCCAAGAAUUUCCAGAAGAAGAAGAAGCAUUCCCCUGAGAAGAAAAGGGCACUGAUGGCGGCAGCUUCUGAUUCUGAGGACUCCUAUAGCAGCAGCAGCCAUGGAGGAAGGCACAAGAGCCCGAGCAGUAGCAAUGGGAAGGUUCAGAGCUUUAGUCCAUCAACCCCACCUCCAACUGCUGUUAAUUACAGAACAGCCAAGAGAAGGAAGGGAAUUCCCCACAGAGCCCCAACUGGAGGAAUAGUUAUUGAAUAUUAGCCCCUGCUUAUAUGUCUUAAUUAGCUUAAUACCCCAACAACUUAUACUACACCUUAGAUAUCAGAAUGGGUCUGGUCAGGAGGUCCAUUCCAAACAGAUAUAGUGCUUUUUCACCUCAAAAAGGCCAAUGUUUGGAAGGAGUUCAGCUUACUCUUAUUGUACAUAGAAGCAGCCGCUAAUAGAAAUAUGGUGAAAGUAGAUGUGGGGGCUCAAGUCGGGAAUAAGAACAAUGUGGAGGACUAAAGGGUGAAAACAGAAGUUAGAAGAACUUUUGGACUUAGAAAAUAAGCUAUUAUAGACUAUAGUUUGAAUAUGAAAUACAGUGGCUUUAAUUUAAGGGAGUGAUUAUACAUAAGCCUUUUUUUUUUCUUUUUUUUUUUUAAUAUUUCUUAAUAGUUAUGGUAAAGAUGUAAAUAUGGUUUUGUAGUAGGGUUAGCAAUGGGAUAACAAUGUACCCCUUGAAAAUACUUUUAUGCUGUUUAUAUAUGGAAUGGAAUAAUAUUUUAUAAUGUAUUUUUUUUUUUUGAAGAAAAAAAAAGAGUCUUCUUGGUGCUUUAAAUUUCUGAGCAUUGCAUUGUUGUUAUUUUGGGAAAGUCUUUUUGGACGGUCGAGGUAACUCCAGAUGAAUGGGGCCCACGGCGGCCGCCUCGUGGGAUUGGUAGAAAGAAAGGCGGUAUCAAGCCCAUUACGUGUCAUCUUCUGGUUGGUUCGUGGAAAGCCAUGUGUCUUGGUUCGCGGAAUCAUGAAUUAGGUCAGCCGCCCUUUGAUAUAAUGCGGUUUCUUGGUGGAGGGGUUUUUCUUAUUGCUCCUAAGAGUUUAGUGGGGUGGGAUUCGUUGUGGGCCGUCCGAUUGGAUUCAACGGUGGCGAUCUUUUGGGGCUUUAUCGUUGAGUGGGGUGGUUUCUUUGAGAGAGAGCUUUUCUUGUUUGUGAUUUCGUGGCCUUUUGUUUUGAUACUUGAAAGAAAUGAUUUUGACAUGUUAUUGAAAUGGUUGGUCUAUUAAGUGGGUUUGGAUUGUGGGCAUUGGUGCCAUUGAUGACUAAUUGGAAUGGUUUUUGAUGCCAUCUAACAUUGUUGUUGUUAAGUCGAAUGUCCCUAAAAAAUCCUAUUUUCUCUUUUUUUUUUUUCUAAUUUUUUGGUAGGUUUUAGUUAACCAAAAGAAAUGUGGUUUCAUCAAUUAAGAACCUAAAUGAAAAUCCCAUAAACAAUUUGGCAAUGCUAGGGUGGAGGAUAAGUAUGCAUUGCCAUUGUUUAUUCGAGUAGUUGGGGCUUGGAGGCACGUGAAACAUGCACCCAACAUGAACAUUGAGCUCAUGGGAAAUGCCUUGAUGAGACUUAGAAAUGUGUGAAUUUGAGAUGAGAUGGGAUGGGAUUCUUAGGGUAGGAUGACUUUUGCUCCUGUGUAUGGAUGAAUCAAUUGAGCAAUUAGUGUAAUAUUUUGUGUUUGGAUUGCGUUUUUGAUGAUUUUUCAUGGAAAAAUUACUGUAGCGAUUUGAUGCAUGUGAGGGAAAAAAAUAAUAGGCAAAUGUGAUCACGGAAAACAACGUAAUUUUCCGACGAAAAACUGCAAUCCAAACAAGGCUCAAUGAUGCCUGAGAAAUAUUAAUCGCGCUCCACUUUUUGUGAAUCGUAGUUGUGCUGUUUAUUUUACCAUAUAAUUUGAUAAAUGAAAAUUAUAUAAUAAAAAUGAUAAUGGAAGUACGAUUAACAGAAAGAAAAAUGAAAUUAAACAUUUCCCUUUGUUGAAUACUGCUAAUUGUCAUAAUGAAUAGACAAUGAUAGAAUGCCAAUAUAGUCAUAAUUAACUAAAGCGUAGUCAAUAAGGAAGCGCACUCCAUGCCAUUAGUGCUGAUCUUUUUAAUAUCAAUGAAAUGAUUUUUGUUAUUUGUAAAAAAAAAAAAUGCACUAAAAGUAGUCAAUAAUGUUUUUCUUUUUCUAGCAAAGUAGCCAAUAAUGUAACUAAUUGAUAUUGCUUGUGCUAAUUGUUGUUAAUUGUCCUUGUUGGAAUCUUUAAGGGUGAGAAGAUAAAGGAGGAAAACUAUGAUGGCAUGUAGAAUCUUUUUAAGUAUUUGGUUGAAUGCAAUUUUUGAAAGGAGAAUGACAAAAAAGAAGGAAAACUAUGAUGGCAUGAGUAAAAGGACAUAUCUUGGAUCAACUUAUUUUCGUUACAAGUAUUAUCAGUAUUGCAUAGUUCAAUGAACCUACAGAUAUUUUAAAUCCUACCAGAUAUUGAAUUUAAUAGAAUACUUUUUUUUUUUUUGACAUCAGAAGAAGGUGUUCUUGCACAAUGUGUUUGUAUAGCAAAUUAUUUAUAUAAAUUUAUCCGUUUGUAUCAUAAAUACAUUUUCAAAAAUAUUUAUAUUUCAUAUAUAUCACAUUGAAAAAACAUUACAUUAUUUUUUUUCAAAAAAAAUAUUUCAAAUAAUCUCCUAUCCAGAUAAACGUAUAUUACUAAUUUUUUUUUUUAGUUCACAUCCAUAAUAAGUUGCUCUAAUUAAAUUGUUUGAGGCAUACAAAUGUAGUAAUUGAGUAGAAUCCAUGAACUUAUUAUGUUGUGCAGUACUUUUAUUCUUAUACAAAACCUAAAGAGAAUUGGAUUUAUCCUCAUUCGCCACAAAAAUUUGUUGAGAUUAUUUGCCAUAAAAUCUUUGCCAUCCAAAUUCAGAGCAUCAAAUUCACGUUAAAUGACACAUUCAAGUUGAUAAGCAUGCGUAGCUCAUCAAUGCUCCAUUAUGUUGACUUUUUAAUUUCUUUACUACCAAAUUUUUGUUGAUGCUCCUUCUUCCGUCCUUUCCUCCUUUUCACUUUCUUGAAAGCUAAAUUGUCGUUGCAGAUUAAAAAGACAAAUUUGCCCAUUCAUUAUUGGUGUGCCUAGGCGGUGCAAAGAUUCCUUUUUCUUAAUUGAAGACCUUUCUAUAGCUAUGGUCUAACAUUCUAAGUGAAUAGUACACCAUGGUUCAAUUAGUAAGAACGUCCACUUCUUCUGUUUAAGCAUGUUUAAAUCUCAUUGUCGACACGAGAACUAUAAUGACAAGCACCCUUUAUAAAUGAGCUGUAGAUUUGAAAGUAUAUCCUGAUCCUGUAAUGGUGCUCGAAGCCAAACCAUCCAAACUUUUUUCUAGUGAAACAAGCAUUACUAGUGGUUACAUGCAACAUCCCGUUAGGAAACGGUAAAGGGAAAAAGCACAAGGAAAUUAGAACAGCAAAUAAAUGGGAAAUUUGGCAAUAUUUAAUUUACCUUUCUGAUAGUCUUUUUUGGGCUUUAGAGAAAUAAAUGUGAUUCUCCUUUUUGGGUAUUUGAUACAAAAAGUGAUAAAGUUCACGUCUUUUCAAGAAAAAAGUUCUCCCCAUGUUUAAUUAAUCUAGUGUUUGGAAACGUAAGAUGUGAUGAAAUUUGGGAUUGGGCUGACUAUUAUUUGUCAAGGGGAGACAAUCACCUUUGUCAUUGUUUGGAUUGCAUUUUUCAUGGAAAAAUUACUGUAGCGAUUUGAUGUAUAUGAGGGAAAAAAGUAAUAGAAAAAUGUGAUUACGAAAAAUGACGUAAUUUUUCGACGGAAAACAGCAAUCCAAACAAGGCUAUUAAUAGCGGUAUAAAUCAAAUUGUGCUGAUAAUGUUCAACAAUCUAUUAAUAAAUUUUGCAUUUAUUAAAAAAAAAGUUCAUCAAUUAAUCAUUAUGCAGGAACCCCUGUGCAAAAUUCAAGGAGAAGGGAAAACGAAAAAGAAAAAAAAGAAAAGAAAAGAAAAGAAAGGCAAACUACAACGUUAUCCUUUAUUUAUUGUUUCCGAUAUAUGUAACCUAUAAAUUGCAAAAAUAUGCACCUCUCGUUUCUACGGAUUUUUAAACAUUAUCCCAAAGGAUCCUGUCUUCUGAGUGUUGGAUAAAAAGCAUCAUCCAAAGACAUUUUGUCAAAUGCUUUUCAAUUUUUUUUCCUUUUUUUUUUUCAAUUUCUUUGAUUUAAACACUGCACUAUUUCUUUCUGAAUUUAAUAAGCACCUAUCUCAUCUAAUAAUAAUUGCAAAUUCACAGAAUCGAGAUUUAUCUACAAUCACUGUUGUAAAUGUAAUCACACUGAAAAUUCCAACAAAGGACGAAGCAGAUUUCAUUAGAAAGCUCCUUUAUACCAGUACUACUACUUUUUAUCAUAGACCCCUCCAACUUUGACUGUGAUCUAAAAGUCCUUACAAUCAAAAGCGAGGAAAACACAUCGAACAAGUGUUGGAACUCACAAAAAGGAAAAGAUCCGAAACUGACAAGUGGCUGAUGAUUCCUUCCUUAACCGUUUUUUCUGGUAUUUUGCAUUCCUUUCAUGACUUCAAUAUAUAUAUAUAUAUUUAUUUAUUUAUUAUUAUUAUUAUUUUUUCUUAGUCGAACUCAACUAGUAGUAUUAAUUUGUACGAAGGAGAUUUGCAGCACGUAACCUGCCUUGUCUCUUUCAGCCCUUUAGUUUUAUUUAUUUUUUUUUCUUUUCUUGGUAAUGAAAAAUUACAAAUGGUCAAAAUUGCGUGAGCAAUGAAGGGCCAGGUGGCUCAAUGACUACGCGUCAAAGUGUGCCACCGCAUCAAGAACGGUGGUGGGUGGUGGGGACUCUUUGAAGUAUGUGGUAUCGAUUCCUUGGCGGAACCGUCCACCUGUGGGAGGAAUCUUCCUUCCUUCCUUUUUUUUCUUUCAUUAUAUAUAUUUUGCCUGUGAGGCCUCUGCCCCCUCUCGAGUCCUUAACUCAGAGUGGAAGAUGGCGAUAGAUUAGCGGCAACACGUACCGCGUUAUUAUGUGACUCAUCACACGUGCACUCAUCAACUAGCUCAAAUUAAUUAUCCUUUCUAUUUGUACGAAAACAGAUGCAGAUAUCUAUAAUUUAUAUCCCAAAAAAAAAAAAACUAUUAUCCCUUUUAUUCAUUCCUAGGAUCUUCAAGUUUCCAAUCACUAAAUUGUUAGGAAAUUGGUUUAAUUUCUUUUAAACAAGUUUUUUAUUCGGUGUAAAAGUAACUAGUUUUCUAAUUGAUUUUAGUUGCUUGAAGUAGCAGUCAAGAAAUUUUCUAUUUGUAUGAGUGUAGGAAUAGGAGUUAUUUCCUACUCUGAACUAGUACAGGAAUUAGUAUUGGUUUCUAAUUGUUAUUUGGCUUUUGACUAAAUAAUAUUAUUUAUAAAUAGGUGGGUUGACAUACAACACAAGAGAUACACAAGGGGCACACAAGAGACGACAUGCAACCUUAUACAUGAGUGGCGAGAGGAGAUUCUUGAGAGAUGAGAGAUGACAUACAAGAGUUGGGUUUGAGUUCAAAUUGUAUUCUUGUAUAGGAUUUUUCUUUCAUAAUAAAGAACGGAUUUCUCUCUGUGGGCGUAGGCUUAAUGGUGGAGUCGAACCAAAUUAAAUAUUGUGUGUCGUUUAUAUUUCGUGCUUGUGAUUUGUUUGUUAUUAAAUUAUUGUGUAUUUGAUAUCUCAAUAGUUGUUUAUUCCGCGUUUAGAUCAUAACAUAAAUAACUAUAAAUUUACAAUCAACGAGUACAAUAGUACGCUUAAUUUGGUCAGGAGACUGACUUUUCCCCUUUCUCUAUCGGAUGAAAGUAGCGUAACUUAUUGCUGUUAGAUGAAAAAGAAAAAAAGAUUAUGAAUUUACUAACCAUUAAAAAUUGGUUUUUGAGUUUCGGUUUCCUAAGGGCAUACAAUUAACAAACAAAAGCACGGAUGGAUUCACUGAUAAAAAUCUAACAUUAUUCAUUUAUAAAUAUUGUGUAUAUUGUUGCAGAAAAUAUUUAAUCACUUUGGGAGAGGUAAAAAAAAAAAUUUAAAUGAGAUGCUUGUUAUGAAUUCUUAUGAAUUGCGAUGGCUUUGAAGCCAAUGAAAACGAAUUGACAGACAAGCAAAGGCAAAAAGUUAGCAUUAAAACAAAACUAUAACCAUGUGCUUCAUGGACUUUUAGGGUAUGUACUUAUUAGCCCCUUCGUUUUAGUACAAAAAUUUGAAAACAGCAAACAAGUACAUAAUAGUAUGAAGACCAAUAAUUACAAACUUGUGAUUUGACUUUGGUAGUUAGGGGAAAAAGUUAUAUAAUAUAUAUAUAUAUAUAUAUAUAUAUAUAUAUAUAUAUAGCACUACUGCCUGCAUUCCUUUUAUGAUAAAUGUAAAUAUACAUUAUUAUUUUUUUUGCUUUAUCAAAUUAGUAUUCUCAUUGGAAUAUUUCAAAGAAUUUAGAUUAACAAGUUUUUAAAGUUAUUUCUUUUAUCUAAGUAUUCUAUUUAAUUUAGCAUAUAUAUAUAUAUAUAUAUAUAUUGGUUUCAACACUUUAGGUUGGGGGACCAUAAAGAAGUGAUGGUGGCCCUUCCGGGAUCGUGUAUACAUGAAUGUUGGUUACUGUGUUGAUGAGGUGCUAAAAGUAUCUGCACCGUACACCUUUCCUUUGUUCUCUCUCGACUUUUGACCGGAACCAAAUGUGUGAAAUAUGACUAUGACUCUUUACAUGUAGAAAAAGUCAUUGCCAUGGUAGGUGCAACACUUAAUUAUAUUUUGGGGAAAUGUUUUAUUUACACUCUUGUUCGGAUUGUAUUUUUUUGGAUUUUUUUGUAGAAAAAUUACUGCAAUGAUUUGAUGUAUGUGAGAAAAAAAAAUAAUAGAGAAAUGUAAUCAAGAAAAAUAACGUAAUUUUUUAGCGAAAAAUGGCUAUCCAAACAGGGCUAAUUAAACUGUCACUAUUAUUUUAAUUAGCCCCGUUUAAAAUAAUGUUGAAGGAUAGCUAAUGUCUUGCCUGCACUGAAAUGUAGGCAUCGGUGCUCAAAACAUUCGUAUUCUGCUUUUACACUCUUUUCUACCCAAAAAAGGAAAAAUCAAAAGAAUGACUUCGAAAUUGUUUGGAUUGCAAUUUUUCUUCAAAAAACUUUUACGUUUUUUUGUAAAUAUAUUUUUUAAUUAUCUUUUUAUCUUGUAUAUAGUAUCGUUAUAGUUUAUUUUUUUUAUAUAAAAAUUCUAGAAAAUAGCAAUCUAAACAGACUUGUUUCAGUGAUGAUUAAAUAGAAAAAGGGAAAAAAAAAUCCAAAAGGGCCUGCUGGAGAUGAAAAGUAUUGAAUACAUACGUUUCAAUCCUGCACUCGUGUUGGCUCUUCGAUUCAAGUUUGAGUUCAUUAAACCGUUGACUUUGAUUAGUAAUAUUUUUUUUUUAAAAUUUCGAAAGAGACUUUAAUCUUACAAUAAUAUGGUGUACUUUUCACAUACAAGUGGUGUUGAAGUUGCCUGGUUUGUUUCCAGAUCAAACUUUUCUUUUAUUAGCGUCAAACGUCAACCAUUGCGGACUGAAGCUGAAUUUUCAAUUGGAGACUAAAUUCGAUCAUUCACAAGAAUAAUUGAGCCUUAAAUUAUAUCUGUCCACAAUAAUGUCUUCUGGAAAAUGUCAAAUUGCAAGAAUUUAAUGUUGCACGGUUUCCAAAUUUUUUUUUUUCCUCUAUUGGAAUAUUGGAAUAUGCACCCCAAAUUAGUGCAUGUUCCUUCAAUUGCACUCCGAUUUUUUAUGAUGGCAGUUGGAACUGUAAAUUCCUUCUAGUAAGAGACCAUGUGAAAUGAUAAUAAGGUGUCACUAUAAAAAAAGUGGAAUCUCAUUAACCAACUUGUAUAGUAUUACUCAUAUUUUCUUUUUCACCAAAUUAUCUGGAUAGGCACUAAGCUUUUUGAAUAGUCGAGUUCUGGCUACACAACUAUAAAUAAUAUAUUUAUAUUUACUAAACUAUCAAAAGUGUAAACUUUGGGUCAUUCUGUCUAAUUUUAUCGUUAAUUCUGUCAUAUCUAACUAUUAAUAGUAUGUCUCAUGAAUUGUGUGAACUUUUAUAUCUGACAGAAUGAAUUAACGGUGGAAUCAAACGGAAUGAUUCAAAGUUCAUACUUUUAAUUAUUUAGUGAAUAAAAAUAUACUAUUAAUAGUUGAAUGACUAAAUUUUAACUAUUCAAAAAGUUCAGUGAUUACUCAAAUAAUUUGCUCUUUAUUUUUCCCCCCUUCUUUCUCUUUCUACUAUCAACUAGAAGUGGAAUACCAUCAUUUGUUGCUUUUUUUUUUUCCUUGUCAUGUUUUAAGUGGAAAGGUCAAGAAUCCACUAAACUCAACAUGGAACAUGAGGCAAUGAAAAGUGAUCUGAUGGAUUAUUGUUAUUUUUCUCUCCCCAUGUUGUUUUAGACUUUGGCCCUUGAACCCAUAUAUUCAAAUUGGCCAAAUUCUGGUUUGGACGUUUGUACUAUAGGCGCAAUUCCAAUUUAGUUUUUAAAUUUUAUUUUUGAAUAAUUUAGUCCUUAAAGUGUAAAAUCUGUCACACGCCCUGUUUGGAUUGCCAUUUUCUGCCAGAAAAUUGUGUCGUUUUCCGCGAUCACAUUUCCCUAUUACAUUUUUUCCUAACAUACAUCAAAUCGCUACAGUAUUUUUUCCAUGAAAAAUGACAAAAAAUGCAAUCGGUUCCAUAUUUUAAGGGAUGAAUUGUCUGAAAAUAAAAUGUUUGCAUUGCAUUAAAGUGGGUCUAUAAUUUAAGAGUCUAAAAUGAAAUUUAGCUUAAUUUAUUAAUUAGUAAAGAUCUGGUGAACUGAAUUGAAAAGUCAUCAUAAUGAUUCAACCUUAGACUUAAGUUCAAAAAACAUCAAAUUGUUUGUUGCUUGAGGCUAUUUUUCACACAUUUGCUUCCAAAGGAAGACAACUGAUAAGAAUUUACAAGCAAAAUGACGUAAUUGGUGAAAUACAAGGAGGACCAAAAUUAUAAUAAUUCUUUCCUUAACAAAAUGAAAGAAAAGUCAAGAACCCAAAAUCAAUACCACUCUGCACGUGUACACUGCACAACACCUACCUAUGCCAAUGUAAGAUCAAUCACAAUUGUAUGCAUAAAAAGUAUUUUUACUUUUUAUAAACAAUUGAUGUCAAAAAAAAAAUUUUUUUUUCCUUGAGUUGGUUAAAAAUGUCAACAGAUAUGUGCAAGUUGCCUGACUAGUGACUAGUACCACUUUCCUAAUUGCCAUUCUGGUCGUACCCAACCCUCUGUUGCUCACCUUCAAGGUCUAAAACUUGCACUUGGAAACUCAAGCAUUUUGGUGGAAAUUGUAGGACAACUCAUAGUCAUUUCUGCGAAAGUAUGAUAUCUAUACUGUAUACAAAGGGAAAGGGAAAGGGAAAGGGAAAGGGAAAGGGAGGGGUUGAUGUAAAUUUUUUUGUGUCACUCUGCGUUCUUUCUGAACUAUUCUCGAGAAUGAUCUACAUCUAACUUUCAAUAUAUCCUUCUUUCAAUUAAUAUAUAUAUUUCUUAUUAUUUUAUUUUUCAACUUAUUUAGUAAAUCUUAAUUUUUAUUAGUAACUAUCAAUUAUGGUUAUGAAUUAUUAUUAAAUAAUUAUUUGUUUAUAUAUUUUUUAUUUUAGUGAAUUUUCUACAUAUUUACUAUUACAACACAAAAUUAAUUUCUUAAAAAAUGGCUUUAAAUAUGCUCAAAAAAUUUUGCACUUAUUUUUUUAAUUAGUUAUGCACAUAUUUGUGUGUGCCCUGAAUACUAGGUCAAAUAAACAUGGUGGGUAGUUCUGGCAAGCAAUUUAGCUGUACCAAGAGACAAUUGGUGGACUAUAAUCAAUUGAAUUGCCAAUUCUGAUGUAAUAGAUAAUUUAUUGCAAAAAUACAAGGAAUUAUGUGGUGAAAUGUGGUGCAUUUCAAUAAGAGAAAAGCAUUUAAAACAUCCCUCACAUCAAAUGAAUUUUUUUAUCUUUUACUUCUAAAAUAUUCACUUUAUGUUCCUUAUGAAUUCAAGUUCGCAAAAUUUAAUUCCAACCAGAGUUUUUGACCAUUUUUUAGUCUAAAAUCACAAUGUGGCUCACAAGCAAUACUUUUUAUACACAAAACGUUAGAUCUCACUUUUUUAGUGAUAAAAAUAAAUAUAGAUUGGGUCAAAUCUUACUUUUUUAAGAAAAAAUAAAUAUAGUUCGAAUCAAAUUCUGUUUCUUUAGGUUCAAAAAUGAAUGUGGAUUGAAUCAUUUGUUUAAUUAUAAAUGGGAAUCAUUUGAUUAUAUAUUUGUCACAUGAUGAAUUCAGGGUAAAAAGUGGCCAAAAAUUUAGAACGGGACCAAAUUUUAUUAACUUGAUUUUGUAAAGGAUGUAAAGUUACUAUUUUUAAAAGUGAAGAGCAAAAAAAAAAUUAUUUGAAAAAUAUGAGAGACGUUUUAAACUAUUUUCCUUUUCAAGGAACCAGUAAACAAUUUAGACUUAAAAGUCAACUGCAAGGAAUAUAUGCAUGAUCAUUUUUUUAAUAGAAAAAUGUUUAGGUGAAUUCCAUUUUGGUAAUCGUUAUAGGUUAGAGCAUGCAUCCGGAAUCAUACGUUACUUACAGAAAUUCUUGCAGAUCAUCUAUCAACACGAUUUUCAGAUGGAUAGCGCGAUUCGAAUACAUGAUCUUUUUGUAAGGAAGUGGCCGUCCUUACUAAUUAAAUCAACUUGCAUUGGCAAAUAUAUGCAUGAUCAUGUAUGGAAACCAACAUAUAUUUUCCGAUCCGCCAUGUUAUGUGGUCUACUAGCUUGAUGAGCUGCCCUUUAAAAAUAGCAAGAUAAGAAGGGAAUGGAUGAUAAGGUGAUGACUUGUCUGUGUAAAAUUAGACUCAGGACAGGUGUCAGAUUAGCUUUGAGUUUCAAUUAAUGGCUUUAACAUCAAAAUACUUACAGGUGCAUCUGUUUCUUUUUGUGUAUGAUCUGGAUAGUAUACUUGGAAAAGGCCCCUUUCAAAGGCAUGCAAAAGCAAAAGAGGGGCAGCUGAUGGAUGACGAUAGCUAUGGUGCUUGGCUUUUUAUAGUUGAUCUUUUUUGGUGGCUACAAGAUAGCUCAAGAAAACAAGAUGAUGUUUUUGUUGAUGACACCUUCUAAUAUUUUAAUUUUUAUCAAGGGUUUUGAUGUGUAUCAGUUUGUGCUUUAGCCACCUUACAAAUAGAUAUAUAUACACACAUUAAAUUAGGACUAAACUAUUGACUUCAAUGACUUGCGCUUAUGAAUGAGCAAGACGUUGAUGGAAACAGACAAGGUGUAACGAGAAAUUCCUAUUGAAUGAGGCCAAAAUAUCCUCAAAUGAGGGUAAGCAACCACCACCAAACACAGCGUGGAAACUUGCGAGAAACCUGCGCACAGCAACAAGCACUAUGAGUAGGAUUGUAUUUGUAGGUCACCACAUAAUAAGCUGAGAUUUGUGUCAAAUAAAAGUAGUAAUCCUUGUUAAGACAAACGACUAUGGUACCCAGAUUAUCCUUUCUUGAAAUAGUUAAAGACCGGUUCGUAAUAGGACAACUAAUGGAUCAAGAUUAUCCUCAAAAUCUUCGUGGUUCUACUUUUAUAUUCAGUCUCACUUUUUUAUUAUCAGCUUAUUAAGGGUCUAACAAAUUGUAAUAAUAAUUUUUUUUCCUAAGGGUUUUUAAAUAAUUAUUUUUUGUCCUUAUAGGUAAUCUACCUGCCAAUCUAGAAAGAACCUUGUGAUUACAAAAUUACCAUUAAAUAUUCGAGGUUGUACGUGGAUUCAAUGUCAUUUCCUCCGGCUUGAGUGAACAGACAAAAGAAUAGAACAAAAUGCUAUUUCUUGUUUGCCUUUCAAAAAGCAGUAUACAAUACAUUACUCAAUGUUAAAUGUAUAUUUGAGUGAGGUUUUCAUGCGACUUAAAUCUCACACCAUGCGAUGUUACUACGUGCAAACAAAAUAAUAAAAAAAAAAAAGAGGUGGAUUUGAGGUUCCUUUUGUUCGUCUAGUGGCGGCCACAUAGGAGCACAAAAGGCUCAAAAAGAUAGAAGUGGAAUCCGUGUGGAUCUCACACUUCUCUUUCUAAUGGGCUAGGUUGCGUCUGACUAGCUACUUUUUCUGUGCUAUAUUUGCCAUCCCUUCUUUCUUUUGUUCUUUACACAAAUAUUAUGUUUGGCUUGUCAAUUAUGAAUCAUGUUCCACAUCAAUCCACACCACCCUAUUUCAUGCAGUCUUGGCUAAGCUCUUUCACUUUAAAAAACCAUAAGAAUUAAAUCAAGUUGCCUAAGCCCUGAUGUCAUUUAGUUUACUAAGCCUUGUGGGAUGAUAUAUAAAGUUGAGAAGCCUAUUUCAUUGCCCACAAUAUGCUGAUGUCUCCAUUUCUUUAUCUCCCUAAUGGGACCUUCAUUGAAUCCGUUGGUUAGGAUUGAUGCGUUAGUCCAUUGUCAGUUCACCAAUCUUACCUGCUUUGGCAUGUCAAAAAUGGUAUUGCCCCAUGACUCUUCUAAAGCUAUGUCCUCAUUCCCUGUUUUCCUUGACCAACUGUGUUGUAUCUUUGGGCACGAUUUUAUGAUGUUCAUUCAUUAUGUUCGACCCACAUUAUAACACCUUUUUUUUUUGUGUUUGCAUCACCCAUUAAUUUCAUUAUAGAAGCUUUUCAAUCUUAACUUAAAAGUCAUCUCUCGCUUGGAUUGCUAUUUUCUGAAGUUCUUGUAGAAAAAUAUACUGUGACAACAUAUAUAAGAGCAUUUUGGAAUCAAAAGCCUUGCGUACAGAUUAGAAUUGUGUUCUAAAUUUCCUUCACUUGCACGAGGGUUUUAAAUUGUGGAGUUGAUUUUGUGGGCACAAAUUAAGUUAGAAAUUUGGAAGUCAAUAGCUUCCUCAUCGGAUUUAACAUUUCAAGAAACAAGUGUCAAGUGACACAAGUUUUCUAUUGUGUUAAAUACAUAUUUAAGUAUUAUAAUUUAGUAUAGAAUUUAGAUAAAUAUUUGAUUUGGUAUAAAGCCAUUUAGUGAUCUGCUGAGAUUUACAUCUUGUUGAGUGGCAAACAAUCUAAAAUAACAACACAUUAAUCAACAAACCAGGAAAUAGAGAGAUGAAGGAGAAAUCCUAUGGUGGAUAUGUAGUACUUGUAAGGCUUGUGCAUGAUAGUUGUAUGGAAUGAUAAAAAGGCUAAAUCAACAACUAGUUAGUUAACAUAGGUGGUGAUAUAAAAUUGUGAGGAGAUAAAUGCAAUUUUAGAAACUAUAAGGGGGUCCUUGUAGAAGAUGAUUUAGAUGGAUGAUUAAUGUAAGCCUUUGCAUUCAUCUUAUUUAGUUAGGUCUUGGUGUGGGUGGUUAUCAAAAUCAUUCAUGUUUAAACUCUAAAAUUUAUUAUUUGCAUAAUUAACUUUCAUCAUUACUUACAUAUGUUAUUUAAAGAAAUGUAGAUUCUCAUAAUAUCAUUGCACACUAAGUAAUUGGAAAAUCAAGUUGCAAUGCUUUUAGGAUCAUAAUCAUGUCCUUGUUUGUGAAUUGUGAUAAUACAAUAUGCCGUACAUCACAAUAAUUUGGACAUCAAAAAAGUCGCAAAAGAAUUUUUUGGGCAGACAAUAAUGACGAUAAUCAGGCCAGCCCAAUUUAUUGGGCCUUGAGAGACCAACCCAAGACUAGUAUCCAAGUCAAACUUUGAUUGGCAAAAAAUGGAAUGAUGAUGAAGCAGCUUUCUUGGUGGGACCAAAUGCCAAGACCAAGAGACAAACCCUUCGCAAGUGGUAAGAGAUAAGAGUGAGGGGGUUAUAAUACAUUUUUAGCAGAAAUAAUGUGAGACCGGUCACUUUACAAAAUGCCAAUCAAUUAAAUAUAGUGAUGCAACUGCAUCUCUAAUUUCAUAUCAUACAAUGCACAUCCCAAACUCUUCCACCGCCCCUUGCUUCAAGUUGAAAGGUGGGGAUCACAUAGCUUUCAACAAAUGGGGAGAAAGUACAAGUCAUGAAACACAAGUUGCAUUAGACACUCCUAGAAAGCAAACUUGUCUUUAUUUCAACCAAUAAUUUCAUAGAUAGUAGAUACAUAUGCUGUGAGAACUCCACCACUGACAGUUGCGUUGAUAGGCGAUCUGUAAAUAUCCCUGUAAGUGAUCUAUAAUUCUAGAGAUAUGCCUUAAUUUAUGAUGAUGAUGAUUGAAACUGAAUCCAAUCAAACUUUUCGUACCAAAAUAAAAAUACAUAUAUUCUCUUCCAACAAGAGUUCGUUAUUAUUGGACAAUUUUUUUGAUUGUUUUUUAAUAUCGAUGUUGUUUUUUUUUGUCAUUUUACCUUUCGAUUGAGACCUACAUUGGAUAAGAACUAAGACUUUCGUCUAAUUUGUUCACCCUUAUUCUCCACAAUUGAGGAAUAAUGGUGAUUUGGAUCUCCAACUCGUGAAUUUUUAAUUGAAGUUAAGAGCUGAGAAAAGUAUCAGCACUUUCCAUGCUACAAUUCUUUGUUUUUUUUUUUUUAGGAGCAAACCCAUUAAUUUUUUCAAUGUAUCAGAAAAGUUUAUACAAAGACAUGGAGUCUAAAGUGGACUAUAACAAGAGAAAACACAUAUAAAUAGAGGCCUAAGACUAGCACCAUAGACAGUUACUCUUAUCUAUCUUCCCUGAAAUUUAAUCUCUCAGUUUUGUCUGCUAAAUUUUAGUGUCUUGUAGUAUCAAGAAUAAGAUUAUGAAAUCUAAGGAAUUAUGUAUGAUUUACUCAAGUAUAACAUUCCUCCCAUUAUAUGUCGAUUAUCAUUCCCCCCAACUUGUGCAGGAUAAUAAUGUGGAGGCCAAUUGUGGACUUGUCCACCUCGGCACCGUUUUGGAGUUAAGGGUGAGCCCUUGAAACCCUGAUAGCGCUUUUGGAGGGGCCUUCCCAAGAUUCGAAAUAGCUCAAGUACCUUUAAAGUCUUUGGGUUGGAAUGCCUGGUAUCACUUGAGCUACUUCGAAUCCUGGGGAGGCCCCUCCAAAAGCGCUAUUAGGAUUUCCAGGGCUCACCCUUAAUCUCAAGACGGUGCCGAGGUGGAUAAAUCCACAAUUGGCCUCCACAAAUAACAAUGCUGAUUAUAUGGUUCCUCAGAUGUUAUCACCCUGUUUGUAUGAACCCUAAUUAAAUGUAAUCUCGUAAUUUUAUUAACACAAAGUGUAAAGUACACGUGCAUUUUAUGGAUGACACUAAGUGAAAUUAGGUAUCAAUUACACUCAAUGAGAUAAGAUGCUGAAAUCCGAGUUGGUUCUAAUCAAUAAUAUGUAACAUUGCCGGAAUCAGUCUCAUAUCUUGGUUUGAUCUUAUGUCGGAUACUUGUCUGAAUCUUAUGAUUUCGACAUAUAUCGAACUCGUUCAUAUGUCAAUCCAACACCUAAUGCUAUUAUGCCAUUCCUCUUUCUGCAGAAAGUAGGUGUCUGUACCCGAUUUUGGGCCUUAGAGUAUCAGGUUUAAUAAACGAUCAAGUGAUGAAAAUAGGGUUAGAUUGAAUCGGGUACCUUACCAAAUCUUGUUCUUGUCUCGUGUAAAGGAUUUAGAACAUGAUAUUAUAUGUAUUACAGAUAAAUGAUAAAACCUUGGAAAGGCAAUGGGAUUGAGAUGUGUAUCAGAAUAAAAAAGCUAGAAAAAAGUUGUCCUAGUCGAACAAAUUGGUGGGAACACAUCUACACUUGUGGGUUCAAUGAAUCUCUCAUAAUGUUCUCGACCAAAAUAGAGAAGCAUGAACAUGUGCCAUGGGUAUCUCAUUCUCUUCCUCAACACAAGGGGAAAAAAAAGGCAACUGAAAGUAUCUCUUGGCUCUAUGUGAUAUAUAGUAUAUGAUAAUCAUAAGGGAAGAUAAAGGGAAGAGAUAAGUUGGAUAGUUCGGAAGAAAAAGAGUAUGAGUAAAAAUCUCGAAUUUAAGACGUUUCACUUAUGCUAGUGUUAAAAAAAUGAUAAUCAGGUGUCAAUUUGAACUUGGUAGAACGGCCAAAGAUUCAGUCCAAUUUGAAGGCGACUGAUUGCAAUAUAGGAAGUCACGGGCAGAGGAAAAACGCCAUUCUAGACCCCCAUUUUGUGGGAGCAAAACUUGGCUCACGAAAAUCCCUUUUUUUUUUUUUUUUUAAAGUCUGUGCCCAGCAGUAUUUCAAUAAAUCCUCAUUUUAAAUAGUAGCAAAGCAAUAUAUGCGAUUACAAAAUGCUAAUCAGUGUGUCAUUUUUAGUGUAAAAGGUAGAAUUUUGUUGGGAACGAUUUGAACUAAAUUGUAAAGUAGGAGGAAUUGUAAUUAGAAGGUUAUAGACCCAAAAUCUUCCAUUUAUCAAAAGAAAAAAAAGGCGGAAUUUUGACUCUAACCAUCAGAUUUGGUAAGCCAACUGUAAUAGUGAACAUUUAUAGGACCACAAUAAUCCAAAUUAAGUUGUCGAAUUUUCCACGAAAGGAUUGUCAGAAGGCUCAAAACCAACGCAGGUCCACGUACGUCUUGACACUAUAUAUAUUUCUCAUGCCUAGACUUUAAUCAUUAAAGCGGGAUUGAAAACUGAAAAGUUACGUUACCUCGCAAUUCCACCACAACCCCAUAAUUCAUCAAAAGGGUAAAUGACAAAACAAUCAACAGACAGAAAAUGAGCCAUUGACGAGACUAAUUAAAGUUGGAGAAAAAUUGGGGUUGAAGCAUAUAGAAAAAGGAAUUUGAAUUCUUCAAGUCAUCUUGUGUCGGCCCUGAGAUUGUUCUAACAUUUUGUUAUGAGCUGGCAAGAUGGAGUGAAGGUCAGAAAGAUUUUACCAGUUCAACUGGCACCGGACCUUCGGUCCAGCAAUCCCUAUUGGACCAUGUCCAAAAGUCAACUAGUUUCACUCACUCGAAGGAAGUGAGUGAAUAAUUGUUAACAAGCAACUCCAACCUAAUCCACAUUUGACUUAAAAGUUUCAUAAAUGCAAGUCCAUUACUGCACAGUACAUUCACGAUUCUUAUGUCCAAUUGCUUAUUGUUAGAGAGAGAGAGAGAUCAAGAUGGUGGAAUCCUUAUCCAUUUGUAUCUAACAAGUUCAAAUUAAUGCACCAGGACCUAAGAAAUAGAAUUGCUAACACAAGUCAGUUCAAUUGAUAAGAACAAAUCAUUUCUUUAUAAAAAAGAUUGUGUGUUCAAAUUUCACUCUUGAUGUGAAAAUUGUGUUCGUAAACGAUCUGUAAGAACCUCUUUAAAUGACCUAUAGUUUUAGAAACUUGCUCUGAUCCGUGGUGGUGAUUGGAGUCGAACCCAACCAAACUUUUUUCGUACAAAAAAAAAACUAAGAGAUAGGAUUGUACGUUUGGUGUCAGACCAUUUUCUGCUCAUUUUCCGGUGUUCAAAAUGAAAAACAUGUUGGCCGACAUUGGCCUGAAAUCCUAUACCACAUCGAAAGAUCGUGGAGUCUUUACUCUGGGUUUAACGUCCACAGGAACCCUGUUCAGUUACCAAUUGACUGAAUAGUGAUUCUUUGUGGGUCCCCUUUAGAUUGCUUUCGGGCCGUUUUUCGAUUAACUCCUGCGUUUGUUUAAAUUAGGUGGGUGUGUGUGGGUUAUUUAUCGGUUUCGAUAAAAAAAAAAAAAGACAUUGGCCUGAAAAGCAUUUUGGUGCCCAACAAUAGAUCAAGAUUGAUUCCUCUAGAGAUAUUCCAAUUAGCUUUACUACUUAGGGCUAUAAAAUAAGAUGAGACGCUUAUAAGAUGGCUAGCGUUGGCCUGAAAGGCAUCUUAAAGCUUUUGAAAAAGAAUGCUAGCCAUUUGUCUAUAGAGUGGCCCGGCAUUGGCCUGAAAGGCAUCUUAAAGCAGUUGAAAAAGGAUGCUAGCCAUUUGUUUUUGGUAGACUCGUGGAUUUGUGCCCACAAAUUUUUCGAUCCUUUGGCUGCAAAUUUUGUAUAUUUUACUCUUUUUUUUUCAAUAAACAAAUUUUGAAUAUUUUACUACUUAAGAGCUAUUGCAACACAAUUGAAAAUCUGAACAAUGACGAAUUGCAAGUGCAGCUGCAGUGAAUGCACACCCCUGACUUGAGGCUGCUUACCUAGUUUCCAAGUCAAAAUUGGGGAAGUCAGUUUUGACUGAAUUACUAGAAGUCAACACAACCUUUUAACAAAAGUCAAAGUCCUAAUUCCUAACUAGCCUUAAGAGAAGGGAAGUCUUGAGUCGAAGGUUGAUCAUCUCUUAUCUUAGCACCAGUUUUCCUUUGCCAUUAGCUGAAGGUUCAUCUUAUAAAUUAGCUUUCUAGCAGCAAAAAGGGGGAAAAAAAAUAAGGGUAAUGGACAAAAAGAUACAGAGAACAAAUGAAAAUGAUGGCCUCGUUUCGCAAGUGAGUUUUUUAGAUAUUUGUCUAAAACUAAACUAUAACUUACUGUAGAAGUUUUUUAAAAAUUUUUUGAAUAUUUUGAAAUGUAUAGUUUAAAAAUUUUGAGAAAUUUUUUGAAGUUAUUAAAAACUUGUAGCAGAUAAACUUGGCCAAAAACUUGUCUGCCAAUCAAGGCCGAUAACUCACAGUUUAUGAUCAUUCAAGUUUUUGAUCUACUCUUGAUCUUAAAUUGAGGACAGAAAGUCAGCAAUUUUUGGACAAUCAAGCAAACCAAUGACAAGUAUCUUGAUUCUGCCUUUGGGAAAACCCUAAAUUAUUUUGUUUAAUUUAGAAAUGUGCUUCUAAAUAUAGGCCACAAGAGGGUGUAACACUUUUUGGGACAGAUAAGAAGGCUAAAAGGCUCACCUCAUUUGGUCGGAUACUAUUGUUUUUGGACUUAAAAGUUAAAGAUAGAUUUUCAGCACUUUGCUGGUAAUUGUACUUCAAAAACCAACUUGAUCUUGUUUGUUUUGUGACUUAGGAAUGUUAGGAAAGUUAAGUGACAUAUAAUGCCAAACUGUGAUUCAAAUCAAAUUGGUGCUCCAAAAUUCAGCUCCUGUCUGAAUUCAAGUUUUCUUGGGAUUCCUUCUUGGCUGUUCUUUUCUUGGAUUAUCUUGACGAUUUCUGUCUUAAUUACCACAUCCGUGUCUAGUAUUUUUCAAACAAAGUACAAAUGGUUUUAACAUUAAUCAAGUAAAAUUUUCUCCUCAAAACAAAGCCAAAAAAAAAAAAAAAAUUUCCUGUUGCUACUUUGCAAUAAAUUCCCUUGGAUAAGAGAGAUUCAAGAACUGCAUUCUUUUCUAGUUGGCAUAUUUAUGUGAACAUUUUUGUACCGUCAUUCUGUAAUUCUAUCAGCAUCCAGAUCAGGAGGCAAUUAACUAUUCAAAAAGUACUCACAAAUUACUACAAUCUUGCUCAUUAUACAUCAGAUUUGUCUUCCUAGCCAGCAGAUAUCAACUCUACAAGGCCAUAAACUUUGAUUGGGCCAUUAACAGAAAAACUAGUCCAGUGCCUAAGCAUUUAUGAGAUUCACUUCGUCCAGCCCACAACAAAAUCAAUCAUGCGUGGGCUGUUCGGGCUGCUUUAGUCUUGGUCAACAACCUUACAAAACCUUUGGAAAAUUCAAUUCUUGCUUCCUACAUUUUUUUUUUUUUGAGAAAUAUCCUUUAAUGUCAAAGCAUCAAUCUGCUGCGUGUGUUUAGGGCGGUAAACGAAUGAAAUCGAACUUUGCAUAGCUUAAGUUUGAUUCAAAAUUUUGGACUUGAUUUUGAAUUCAAACUUGAAUUCUAUAUGAGCUUAAAAUCUAAACUCGAACGCAAUUUGAUCUAAUAUUCGAUGGGUUCGAUCUUGAUUCGAGAGCCCAAAAUUUUAUUAAUUCUUCAAUUUUACUAUUAAACGAACACUAAUUCAUUUAUAGUAUAUGUAUAAUAAAAUAAUAAACAUAUAAUUUUAUAUAAAAUAUUAACAAGUAAUUUAAACAAAAAAAAUUAAAAGUUUUUCAAAUCAAAUUGAGCCUUAACAAGAUGAAUAUUUACAAGUUCGAACUCGAUUCAAUACUAUAAAUGAAUCAUAAUUCCUAUUCGAAUCUGAACUCGAGUUCGUUAAAAAUCAAACUAAUCUGAACUCGAGUUCGUUAAAAAUCAAGUUUGAUUUUUAACGAAUCCAGUUCGAAUUGUUCGUUAAAGUUUGGAUUCGUUUACAGCUCUACUGCUGUAUUCAUUACGUUACCGUUUUAAGUGUCCUUAUUUCCAUCAGUAAAUUCAUAGGUAGGUACAUAUUCUAUCCCAAAAGAGUUCAUUGUUAUUAGCCAAACCUCGUCGUUAUUAUCAAUGUUGUUUUUUUGUCAUUUUACCAUUUAGGUAUAAUAAUGAUUUGGAUUUCCAACUUGAUUUCCUUCUGUUCCGAGUAUUUCUAAUUGAAAAAUGAAAACCAGAUCUUGGAUUAUUGGAUAUAAAAGCUAGACAUAACAUGUCUGCGUUGUUUCGGGAGAUACUACGGUCCCUUUAGUAUACUAUGCUUCAGUUGAAAUUCAGCGUUGAUUGAUAAAAUAAGAGUUUUUGAUCUCUGAAUUAAAAAAAAAAAAGAUUUCAAUCAUUUAGAACGUAAAUCACCACCAUUGCUGAAUGAUGUGGCAAUCAGUCAUUGGAUAUAAAUUGAGAGAACUAUUCCCUGAAAAAAUUUUAGAAAUUUUCCAUUCUAUCAAGUUCAAAUACAAUUAUGAAGGGAGAAUCUGAAUUUACAUCCUUCCCGUGACUAUAAUUUCAACGCCUUUCAUGCAUUAAUUCCUUAUAUAUACACACACAUAUAUAUAUAUAUAUUGGAGCAAACUUAUUCAUUUUAUCAACAACAUCAAAAAAGUGUAUACAAAGAGAGUAUCUCAAGCAGGCCAUAACAAGAGAAAGCACAUGUAGGAAGUGGCCUAAUCCUUACGCACCAUAGAGAGUUACUCUUACCUACAUUCCAUGCAAUUUUGAUCUCUCAUUUUUGUCUGCUUAUUUUUAGUGUCUUGUGGUGACAAGAAUAAGAUCUUAGAACCUGUGGAAUCAUAUUGGAUCCCUCUCAAUGAAAUAAUUAGAUGUCGAAACCAGAAAUGGUUCUCUUUAAUCAUCUAAAAAGUUCUACAACAACUAGUAAAUACAACAAUUUUAUGAUUUGGGCAGCUUGAAAUUGUCUGUUCCGACUGUCCCGUUCCUAUUUAACUGCCACAUGCGUUGAUUAAUAACUCUUAUGAUUCUAUUGUGGAUAAAUCCAGUAAUAAAUAACUCUUAGAAUUCUAUUGAUAAUAAAUCCAAUAGUACAAUAGCAUUUAACAAAGAUGGGACAGAAACAAAAUUCAAAACAGAUGAUUUGAAACGGAUUUGGACCUAUAUUGAGCUCUUUCAUCAGUCAAAGGAACACCUAAUGCUAUAAUAGCAUACUCCUCUUUUUGCAGAAAGAACUUUCUGUAAUGGUGUGUGUCUCCGAUUCUAGGCCUUAGGUAUCCGGUUUAAAAUAGACGAUCUAGUGAUCGAAAUGGCUGUAGAUUGAAUAGGGUACCUUACCAAAUCUUAUCUCGUGUAAAGGAUUUAGAAUAUGAUGAUAUAGUACAUAAUAUGUAUCACUUGUAAAAGCUCGGAAAGGCAAUGGGAUUGAGAUGUUUAUCAGAAUAAAAUCUUGAAAGAAGUUGUCCUAGUGGAACAACUUGGUGGGAACAUAUCUACUUUUAUGGGUAACGGGCUCAAUGAAUCUCCCAUAUUGUUCUAAACCAAAAUAGAAGAACAUGAGAAUCUCAUUCUCCCUCUCAAUACAAUACAAGGAAAAAGUAGUUAGAAAUUAAAUAUCUAUUGGCCCUGUGUGAAAUAGUAUAUAAAACUGCCAAAGACUCAGUCCAAUCUAAAGGCGACUGAUACAAUGCAAUAUAGGAAGCUAUGGGCAGAGAAGAAAACAUCCUAGAGAAGAACCCUUAAUGUGGGAGCAGAACUUUGGUCAUCACAUCCUGUUUUUUGUAUGUACCCUGAAGCAUUUCAGGUCAGCAAAAUUUUAAGAGGGUGACAAAGCAAAAUAUAUGCUAUUGCACUGCUAAUUAAUGCGACAGUUUUAGUGCAGGAGGUAGGAGGUGAGACGGAGGAUCGGAUUGAGUGGUAAGAUAGAAUGGAUUAUAGGUACUGAAUUCUACAUUUCCCACUUACCAAAGAAAAAAAAAAGUAAAAGUUUUAGUGACUCAAACAUUAGUUUGUUAAAAUUAUUUUUACAAUGGAGAGAUUAUGCAUAUGAUACCUUAAAAAAUUGAUUUACACCUGGAUAUCUUUUUAUUUUGGGGCCAUUAAUUAAAAGAGUAAUUACCAACUAAUCAGGUUUGGGAAGGCAAAACAUUAGCAUCCAUAGGACCAUGACAAUCUAUUAAGUGGUCGAAUUUUCCACAAAAAGUAUUGUCAAUACCUACGCAGGUCCAGUCUUUUCUUGACUUUGACUGUUUCUCCUACGUAGACUUUGCUCGGUCAAGUGGGAUUGAAAACUUAACAUUCCCCAGCUCCCUUCCACCACAGCCCCAUAUAUGCAUUAAUCAAAAAGCCAAGUGGCAAAACAACCAACAGACAAAAAUGAGCCAUUAAAGAGACUAAAUUAAAGCUGGAGAAAAAAUGGGGUUGAAGCACACAGAAAUGGGAGUUGAAUUCUUCAAGUCGUUGUUUGUUAGUUAUCCUUAUUGGACCACGUCCAGAAGUCAACUAUUUCCACUUCCUUCACUUCAAGGGAGUGAAUGAAUAAUUGUUAAUAAGCAACUCCCAACCUAAUCAACAUUAUUGCAUACUUUUUUAUAUCUAAUUAUGUAUUGUUCUCAAACAAAACAAAGAUCAACCAUGGAAUCCAUAUCCAUUUCUACCUGUCAAGUUCAAACAAUGCACAAGAGAUUGGAUUGUAACUGUUAGAAGUCAACACAACUUUUUAACAAAAGAUGUCAUAGUCCUAAGCCCUAACCAGCCUUAAAAGCAGGGAAGUCUUGAGUCAAAAGUUGAUCAUCUUUCUCACUAUCACUUUGUGUUUGCCAUUAGCUGAAUGAAGGAGGGGAGGGUUCAUCUUAUAAAGUAGCUUUCUAGCAGUUAAAAGAAAAAAAUAGAGGUAAUUAAUGGGCAAGACAUACAGAGAACAAACUGACUAAAAAUGCUCAGAUGGGAGGUAGUCUUGGAAACUACCUUAAUUUUGGCCUUUCUGGAGAACCCUGAAUUAUUUCGAUCAGUUUUAGCUUAAUUCAGAAAGUACUUUAGAAUGUAGGCCACAAAUGGGUACAAUACUUUUUGGGACAAUUAAGGACACCGAAAGCUCAUCUCUUUUGGUCGGAUAUUCUUUGUAUUUAUAGAUGGGAUAUUGUCAUACAGGCUUGUUCUCGAUUGAUUAUUUUAAUUGAUUAUGAAUUUUGAUUUUCGGAUAAUAGUUUUGUGAUGCUCUCGAUUACUUUUGUAUUUUGAUUAUAGAUUUCUUAAUGAUAAAAAAAGUUAAAAUCUAUAAUCAUUUGAAGAGUACCUUUUACUGAUUCUAAUUAUUCUUUAUAAUCAGAUCUUAGUAAAAUCUAAAGCAACCGAGAAUUAGGCCAUAGUUUUCCAACAAUUUACAGGCAUUUCUACUUCAAAACCAACUUGAUCUUGUCUGUUUUAUAUGUGACUUAGGUAACUAAUUAGUAAACUUAGGUGGCUUUGACCGGCUAUAGUAGUACUUGUCUUUGCAUAUAAUGCCAAGCAUUCUCAUCCAAAAAAUUAUUCAAUUCAAUUGGUGCCCCAAAAUUCAGCUCUUCUCUGAAUUCUAGUGUUUUGUGGGUUUCUUCUUGGCUUGUUCUCUCUUGGAUUAUGUUGGCCAUUUCUGUCUCAACUCUUAAUUAUCACAUCCGUGUCUAAUAUUGUGAGCAAAAUACAAAUGGUUUAGUAUUAACCAAGUCACAUUUUCUCCUAAAAAAAGCCCAAAAAAAAAAAAUCUCAGUUGCUAUUUUGCAAAAUUUCCAUGGACAAUAGGGAUUUGAGAUGUAACCACUUUUUUUUUUUGGCACACAGAGGAUAUCCCAGCAUUUUUGCCGAACUAAUCUCUUUAGGCUAUACAGAACCCGCCCAAGAACUGGUGACUUACGGGAUACUACCGCAUGUAGUCACCAACUGAGCUCGUGCUGGGGCAGAGGGGUAACCACUUGGAUCCUUUUCUAGUUUUAUGUGAACAUUUUUAUACUCUUGGCAUUCUGAAAUGCUAUCAGAGUAUCCAGACUACAAGGCGAUUCACAAUUGACAAAUUGCUCACACCUAUCUUGCUACUUGGACCUCGUAUUUGUCUUCCUCGGCCUGCAGAUCUUGACUCUCCAGGUUAUUAAUUUUGACUGGGCCUUACCCUGAAAACAGUCCCCCGUUGCUUAACCCUUUUGGGAGAUUCAUUUUCCCUGGAUGGUGUGUGGGCUGCAUCAUUCUGGUCAAUAACGCUACACUAGGGUCGCAAUGGGCCAAGUGCCAAACCAUUCAGUAUUUUUUUUUUAAGAGAAAUAUGCUUUGGUCGAGGUAAAGGGAAAAAAAAAAAAUCAAUUCCAUGUACCCACUAAGGAUUUGUUCUUGGUUAAUUAUUUUAAUUGGCUAUAAAUUAUAACUUUUAAUAAUAAAAUUUUUUGUUCUCAUUUGGUAUUAUUUAUGGAUUAUAGAUUUUUUAACAAUAAAAAAAAUAAAAUUCACAAUCUACUAAAAAGUAACUUUUAUUAAUAUUAAUUAUUCUAUUUGCUUACUUAUCAGAUUUUAUAAAAUCUAAAAUAAUCGACAACAAGGCCACAGUUAACUAGUGUGGGGAAGAUGUAUUCAGAAUUCAGAGGAAGAUACUUAACAAUUUUUUUUUUUUUUUGAUAGAGUAGAUGGCCAAAAAGGUCACUAAAUAUUAAGUAUGACACAGAUUAGCUACGAAUUUUUUUUUUUGCGGCCACAAAGAUCACAGCAAAAACGGGCAGCGAAAUCAUUUUGUCAAAUUCUACCACUAAAACUAUUGGUUGCCGAAUAUAAUUUGACAAAAAAAAUCGUUAAAUUUCAAUAAUUUACCAACCGUCUUAUCGACAGAAUUUGACAAAAUGAUUUCGGUGGCCCCUUUUUGCCAAUUUAAUGACGUUUGUGGUAAAAAAAUAGUUUAGUGACAUUUUCCACCUUUCCCUCUUUUUGUUACAAAGCUAAGUGCAGAUUUUGUUACUGUUGACAUUUUCCCAGAGGUCCAUGCAUACUGAGUUACGAGAUCCCAAGCAGUUUGAGGUACACAAUUCGAGGUAGUUAUGACUGCUUAGUAGCAAAACUUUGAAUCAUUACCUAGCAGGAGAAAUAAACCAUCAGCCCAUCCUUUACGGUAAUCAAGAAACUAAUUCAUCUCUUCAUUGAACCCAUCUCAUCUUUUACACUAAUCAAGAAACUUAAUUCAUCUCUGCAUUACCCUCCCAACAAUUUCAAGGGUUUACCAAUUUAUUUCUAUAUAAACAAACUGCCCUUGCAGCUCGAGAAUAUGAGACAGAAAGUUCAAGGGUAGCAAAACAAAAAUGAGAGGAUCAGAGAUCAUCAAGUCAGUUGCUUCUGCAGCAGGUUUAGGUCUAGUUGCAUGGGGCAUUUCUCAACUUUUGGAAAUCUGGGGCGUUACAAAAAUUUUUGGAUUCGCAUUACCAUGGAUAAGCAGGAAACUGAUGAAAGCACCAGGAGGCAACAACUACAUCUUCAGGGAUGUCUUCGAGCGUGACCCUGCUGGCUAUUUCAGCGGCCUUCGCAAUUUGAAAAAUUAGUUAUAUCUGUCUUCAGGAAAACUGAUGAAUAUUACUGGUUUCUUAGCGGCUAAUGAUUGAUAUAUCUGUCUUUGCGGGUAAUUGGUUGAAUCUCCUACUGAAGUUGUAAUGCAUUAGUAAAAUUCCCUUAUCCCUGAUCUGAUAUACAUAAAUUAUAGAUGGAUUAAUUGGGAUGCUAAUGGCAUGAAUAUGUCCAAUGUUGAAUAAAAUUCUCCAUGUAGUGGCAUCGAUCAUAUACUUGUAGCCAAGAGGAAAAACCAAAACAAGAAGCAGCUUGCAUUCGAAGAAUGUAGUGGCCUUUACAAGUGCCUAAAGGAAAUAGGAAUUGCUAAUUCAUACAAGCGACUGAUUUUAUUACAUAACCAUAAAUUAUUCAACAACAAAUGAUAAGGCUUGAUGGGCAUCACCACGCCUAGAAUUAUCUCACUGUAAUGGCCUCUAAGCCCUCCAAGAAAGAGGUACCCACUAAUAAUAGUGUCUGGAUUUUUACCUUUGGAGGGACCCUAAAUCAUUGCCGGCUUAGAAAAGUACUUUUGAAUACACGAAAUGGGGUACUUUUUUUUGGGGGGGAUAAAGUGAAUUUCAUCAAUUUGCAAGAAGUUAUACUACAAAAGUAAAGAAACCAACUUGAUCUUGUUUCUAUUGUGAUUUAGGAAAGUUAAAUGGGCUAUCAAUUGAUAUAGUGGUACAUGUAGGUUACAAGAGCUCGGGUAUGGGAAACAUUCUCAUCCAAAAUAUGACUCAAAUGUAUUGCUGCUCCAAACUUUAGGUCUUGUCUCAAUCCAAGAGUUUUGGUGCCUGCUCUUUCUUGGAUUAUCUUCAUGAUUUGAGUCUCAAUUAUCACAUCCUUGGGUAAGGCACCAAAAUGAAGUAAUUAUACUGUUUCAAUUAGUGAAUUUAUGGGAAUAUCAUCCAACAUUUCCAUUGGCAGUUGGUGAGUAUUCGUAUUAGGCGCUGUGCAAUUGCAAUUAUUGCACCUGUCUCCAGGUUACAAGGCAAUUAUCAAAAAUUACAAAUAGUAAAUUUUAACUCUCAAGGUGAUAAAGGAUGGACGAAUUGGCUUCGCAUUAAUAAUUUUUUUUUUUAAAAAAAAACUCUCAAAGUGACUAACUGAUUCGGUCAUAGACAAACCAAAUUCCUCCAAUACUUGACCCUUUGUUUGUGACGAUUCAAGUUUUGUUUCCUAAACCAAGAACAUGCAGAGUAUUUAUAUUUUUUUAUAUUUAGUUUUUGUUUUUAUCAUGAGCCCGUUCGACCAGUUCAAAAACAGUUGCAUUUUCUACCCCAUUAUUGAAUGAGUUUGAUCUUGUGUUCAAACUAGAUUUAUUUGUUAUAGAAUCGAGCAUUUUCAAAUUCGAAUAAGCCAAAUAUGAACAUAUAAGCUAAUUGCAGGGAUCACCAAAUGCACUAAUAAUACAAGUACUACAAAAAGGAAUUUUUAAAUUUUGCAAAAUAAAUUGUGUUAUUCAUCCAGACUCACAACAAGUGUAAAAAGAUUAUACAGUGACAACAUGUGCUUUGAGCAAUUCUAAACGCUUUAUGUUGGAAAGCUAAAGAUAGAUUUUUUUCCCCCAAUAGUUCGUUACAUUUUCCAAGAUAGAGUUUCAUGCUCACUAGACCCUUAUUAUUCAGCAAAUACACAAUUCAAGGUAUGUAUUAUGACUGUUCAGGAUUCUCAUCUCAUCUGUUACGCUGAUCAAGAAACUAAUUCAUCUGUUCAUAACCCUCUGAUCAGUUUUCCAGGGAAUGUAUUACCAUCUAUAUAAACAAACCGCUUUUGCAGCUUCUGAAUAUGAGCUAGAAAGUUCAAGAGCAGCAAAACAAGAAUGAUGGUCAGGGCAAUUGCAUCUGCAGCAGUUCUGCAAAAUCUAUCACUGUUAAAUGAGAUAAAAUAUUUCGAAAAUUGGAAGAAAAAAAAAAAAAAACUUUCGGCGCCCCUGCACAAAUCACGUUAGUCUUCUUGGAUUUGACCAUACCAUUCAUUACUUUUUGACAUUACCUCAAUACAUCAAUCCCAAAGUUCUUCUCGAAGACACAAAUCCAUGAUUCAUCAGCAAAAGAUAAAAGCCAAAUAGUACUGCUAGAAAUUAGGAACAAAUACCCCACUAAACCCUAUCGCAAAUCUCACUUUUAUGUAUAACCUUGCUUGUAUUUGCGAAACAGGUCCUCAGUCUUGGCAUUCCUAAAAGCACAACAUCCAAUUAAAUAAACCCAAAUCAAGCCCACAAGUGUGAUUAAUAAUAUAAUGUCUGCUCUUCUCCAUUCUUUCUUCAGAUUAGCCAAUAAUCCUGCUUUGCAUGAAUCGCAUGAGUAGCAAAGUUGUGUUUGCUCAUUGCUCCAUUGAAGGCAAUCCAUGUCUGCUGCUGUGUCUAUUGGACUAAUCCAGUAUGUUGGGUUCACAAAUGUGUAGCCGCAUUGUGUUGGAGGUUUACAGCAGCCUGACUGUAAAUGGAAUAUCAAGAAAAAAUUAAAGGUGAAUCAUUCCUAGCGGGUACAUAUAUAUAUAAACCCAUUUUCACACAUGAUUAAUUGGGGGCUUCAUGAUUGACAGGAAAAAAUAUAAAAGAUAAAAAUUCAACUUAAAACCCUUGUGUAUAAACACGUAGGAAAUUUUUUUUUUUCAAGUUUUUUUUUUAGCCUCCCAUCCUUCCCCAUAGGUCCACUCUCUUCUCACUCCUAACUAUUGAGAUUUGAAUCUUAAAUUUGAUGGUAGAAAAAACAAUAAAAAUCCUCCCUUGACCACUAAACGGAUCCUAAUGGUUAACAUGUAAAAUUUUUUCUCACUCAUGUUUCUUAUGUAAAUGUAACAUUUUGUAACUUAAGAAUUUAGAUUCAUGCAAUUGCAAAAAUAAAAUUUGCAGAAACAAAAACUCAAAUUUUUACACAAUGUGUCUUAUUCUUUUGUUUUAAAAGUAGUGUAGUAACAAAACCUAAUCUUGAUUUAGGCUUUGUUUUUUAUUAAUCUUUCUAUUCAACUGUUAGCAGCUAUUUGUGGCUUUAACUAUUGAGGUCCUAAAUUGUUGUGUGGAAGAAUCUUCACUAUUCUAAGCUUUAUGAUGCUAUUAAUUCUUUUCUGUACCGACAAAGUAAAAACCUUGUUUGACAUAGAAAGCACUCUAAGAAUACUUUAGAUGCUAAAGCAUACGUGUGAAAUAAAAAAGAAAUGAUCCCUACUAAUCACUUUUCUUUCAUGAUAAGUUUUUAUAUUAGGUUUGAGUCAUUGAUCCUUUUAACAUUUUUAGUGGAAGAAGGUAUCAGCAGCUUUAAUAUUUGAAGAAUGUAAAAAGAGCAAAUCUGGAGGAUGGUGUAACAGAAAUCCACUACUGUUACCUCACCUUUCAAACAAAAAUGCUGAAGUAAGCAGGUAAAUUCAAAAUCCCAAAACAAAAAAGGGAAAAUAAAAGCAAAAAUAAAGAUCAAAUCCUUGUUAAUCCUCUUUUCUUUUUUUUUUUUGGAAAUAAGCAAGUAUGCAAUGCUUAAAAACCAAAAAGAAAAGGAAAAUAAAGACCAAAAAAAUUAAAAACUUUGUUGAUCCUCCUCUUCUUCUUCUUCUUCUUUUUUUUUAUUGCAAAGAAAUAUGGACCAUAUGUUACUUGAGUACACACAUUUGGUAGUUAAACUUUUGAACAAUAUUAUCAGUUUUAAUGUCCAACCAUGCAACAUUUCGCCAUAGAACCAAAAAAUGAUCAGAAGUAAAUUUUUAAGCAAGAAAAUGAAGUUCUUGAAAUUACCUGUAAGGGACUAAGAUGUGCAUUGAAGAAAUCUUGAGGCAUACGAUAACUUUGGUUCAACUCAGCACACAUGCUAGAAGAGCUAAGGCAACUUCUUAUUCUGUCCCAUUUAUAAGAGCUUUGAACUCUUCUUCGAAGCCAUCCAGAGAAGUCAUCAAGAUGAUAUUCCAAAUAAGCUCGGUUUGUUGCAGGCCGGCCAGAGCCUCUGAUGGUAACCAUAUAGAUAAAAACCACCAAACAAGCAAGCAAAACUAUGAGAACAAGCAUAGCAAUGAGGUACAAAAUAAGAAGCCAUGGAAUCCUCCAAAACCCUCCAAUAAAACCCGCAAGAGCCACAAUCAAAAUCAGAACUCCCAAGAUAAUCACUGGCCAUUGAAGAAGUUUUACACAGGAAUUGUCUGGUUCUGUUGCUAGCCAGAUUCCAGCACCGAUGAUGGGGAUUGAAAGAAGCAUUGCAACAAAGUUUAUGCAACCAAUAACAUUAUUGCUUAGUGCCAUUUCUUUGAAGAAGGAAGAAAUGCUAAGUCCUUUUUUUUUUGGGGGGGUUGGCUGAGAAGAAUAAGGAUGGAGGAAGAACAGGAAACUAGGUAGACAAGAUAGAGAUUUUGAUUUGCAAGUCACUAGUACUAGUUUUUGUUCUUUUCCUUGGAAGGAUGAAAGCUACUAAAGCAAAUGAAUCAUAGAUGUAAAUAGGGUUAUGAGCUCUUGGACCAAACGUUCAAUCACUUUAGUUUAACUUUUUAAAAGGGAAUUGUUGUAAAGAAAACAAAAGUAAAAGAAAGAAGAAAUUCCUCUCUCAUGAGUAGAAAUAGAAACUUGUGCUCUGUCAUCAUGUUGGGUACAACGAAGACUUUGUGCUUCAGAUGCCUCGGGCUCCAUACACACUAUGGCAUCUUUUCCCUGAAUUAGAUCUACAAUUGCUUGGGGUAAAAAAGUUAAUUAUGCUAAAGAAAAGAAUGAAGAACUAAAAUCACCUGGCUCAUAUGUCUCUAUCUUUGUAUCCUACAAAAAUAUUUAAACGUAGUGCACUUCGAUUGGUAAAAUCCUUUACCUAUAAUUAAGAGGUGGAGGGAAUAGGAGGAAUAGGAAAAGCAAGGAAAUGAAAAGAUGUUUUGAUUGAGUUUUUAGGACGAAAAGAAAAGAAUAGGGAAAGAAAGGAAGGGAUUAAGUCUAAUUAUUUGUUAUGAGCCUGUAUUUCAUUUAAAAGUAGACAGACAUUGAGGGAAAAGAAGACAUUAAACCAAGAUCAAUGAAAAUGUUAAAUUUUUUUUGAAAUAUCCUUGUAUUUUUUUCAUAUUUAUCAUUAAUGUAAUUUAUCUUUAUUACAAUCUCCACACUACCUUAUAAUCUAAACUUACUUUUUUAAAUUAUAUCUGAAACCUUUAAAUAUUAGAUAUUUUAUUAAUAUUUACUAUCAUUUAAAAGAUUUGCUUUUUGUAUUCUCGAGUUCUAAUUUCUUCUCCUAAAAAACUUCAAAAUAAAAAAUAUUCGAUUCAUUUUGAAAUACUAUUAUCUUGGAGAUUUUCGUGAACAUAAAAGGAUGAAUACAAAUAAAUCAAACUAAAAAGGACAAAAUAAACUAAAAGGAGGGUAAAUUAGAUUUUGUUAAAUUAUGGGCAAAUUCAAAAGAGAAAACGUUAAAAACAUUGCUCAUAUUUUGCUAAAUGAAUUUUUUUGUCUUUCACUUUUAAAAUAUUAACUUUACGUUCUUUACAAAUUCAAAUUAGCAAUAUUUGGUCCCAACCUAAGUUUCGAACCACUUUUAAAUCUGAAAUCACCACGUGACUUAUAUGCAGCCAUUUUUUAUGUACAAAAAGGUCAUAUUCCACUUGUUUAGUAGCAAAAACGAAUAUAGAUUGGAUCAGGUCCCAUUUUUUGAUGAAAAUAAAUAUGAUUCAGAUUAAAUCCUACUUUUUUACAAGUAAAAAUAAAUAUGGAUUGGAUCAUUUGUUUGACUACAAAUUGGAUCUAACCUUUUUGCUCCUACAAAAAUGACCAUAUAUGAGUUAUGUGAUGGAUUCAGGGUAAAAGGUAAUUGAAAACUUAGGUUAGAAUUAAAUUUUAUCGAUUUGAUUUUAUAAAGGAUAUAAAAUUACUAUUUUAGAAAUGAAGGACAAAACAAUUUAUUAAAAUGCGAGGAAUGUUUUAAACAAUAUUCCAAUUCGUAACAAACACAGUGAUUCCUACCCUGAUCCAAUCAAUAUCUUUAGUGUUUUUUUUUGGAUUAAUUUUUUAUACACUGACAGUGUAUAUACAUUUACCAUUAUAUGCAUGACAUGUAAUUCGAAUUUGAAUUUGAAAUUCAAAUUUUACAUAUGUGUUUUAUAUCUAGCCAUAAUAGUGUAUAUACCGUCAUCGUAUAUAAAAUUUACUAUUUCUUUUUUCCUUCCAUAUCCGAUCUAAAAAAGACAGUUAGAAUCCGCUUGCUCUUCUCAUUCUUUUUCACUAGAGUCCCUUCCUUCCUUUUUCUGCCCUUUCUUUUCUUGCAAGGCCACUACUAUUUGCUUUUCGUAAAAGAAUUCUUCAUAAAUAUGUAACUGUACCCUUAAAAUAGAGGAAUUUAACAAAAAACAUAUCAUUUAACUAAUUUGUUGCACAAAUAAAAAAAAUAUUAAAAUAGAAGAGGCAUGCAAUGAAUGUCCUUAACUUGUAGGGUUUUCAAACUGUCCUUAAUUUUUGUCCUAUCCUUAAUUUUUGAACUUCAAAAAUUUUAUACACGUGACAUGCAUUCUACAUGUAUAUUUACCUUUAGUGUAAGAAUGAUUAAUUCAUAUAUAUACAUACAUACAUAUAUAUAUAUAUAUAUAUAUCUUUUUUUUUUGGCAUGAACUACAUCAACAAGAACAUCAAACAUGUACUUUCUUUUUUCUAAAAAGAAUUAACAAAGGAUAUAUUUGUAGAAGGAUUGGGCCUGAGCUGAAAUAUAGUUACAAGCCCAUCAGUUUGGCAGCCUGGUCUCUUGUCAGCCCAAGCCAAAUUAAUUUGCAUGAUCUGCUUUGGGAAUUGAGAGGUAAUCUUUCAACAGAAAAAUCUCUGGAAACCAUCUUCUCCGACGGUUCCUUCAUUCAGUCAGCACUCAGCAGCAAUGGCUGCAAUUGAAGCAGCAGCAUUCUCCAUACUUUCUUCUUCCUCUUCCCUCCCGUCAACUUCCCCUAAAUGCUCUUUGCACUUCCUUAAACUUCCCAUUUCCACCUGUGCCCUUCCUUUUUCCUCGAAACGCCCACUAUAUCCCCUCCCUCCACUGCACUCCUCAAGAAAACCAAGGUUCCAAAUAUGCUCAACCUCCACAGUUGAAGAAGUUGUUACAGUAGAAGAAAAAACAGAGCCAACCGAAGAGAAAGCAGAGUCAGCCCCACAAACCAAUCAGAAAAGAAAGCUUUUUGUGCUAAAUUUGCCAUGGUCCUUCACCGUUGCUGAUAUUAAGAACCUCUUUGCUGAAUGUGGCACUGUUACUGAUGUUGAGGUACUUCCAUGAGUGGGAUAUUUCUGUUGAAGAACUUACUUUGGAUGAAUUUGUUGAAGUUGAAGAAGUGAUUUUAGUUGGUGGUUCUUUUUUCUUUUGGGUCUGAAUUUGUUAUUGAAGUGAGAUUAAAUCGUGGGUUUUGUUUGUCCUGCAUAAUUUGUUAAUGAAGUUAUUUUUGAAUGGUGGGUCCUGUUUAUCUCGAUGAAUUUGUUAAAGGAGUCAUUUUGAAUCGUGUUUUCUGUUUUUUCUUGGAUGCAUUUGUUGAAGAAGUGAUUUUGAGUAGUGGUUUUUGUUUUUCUUGGAUGUGGCAGAUUAUAAAGCAGAAAGAUGGUAAAAACAGGGGCUUUGCAUUUGUGACAAUGGCUUCUGGGGAAGAGGCUCAGGCUGCUAUUAAGAAAUUUGACUCUCAUGUGAGUUGUUUUGGAAAGUAAAUUUUCUGAUUAUUGUCUAUUAUCAGUGUCCUUUAAUGGUUUACUAGAUGUAUAGCACAAUGUGUUUGUUAUCAGAGCCGAAAGGAUAAGGAAAUAAUUGUGAUUGAGUGGUGGAAUGAGUGUGUAUUUGCGCAAAGUGAUGGGUAAGAGUAUUGGAGCAAUUUUGUUGAUAUUUACAUAUCUGACUUCCAAUAAUGUGAGAAAAUGGUAGUUUUGCUUCGUUAGUCAAUGAUAUUUGAAUCUUUAAGGUGUAAUUCUAGCUGCAUAUAAGAUACUCAUCUAUAGCUGGAUUUGAUGAGUUGUGCCUUCAUCUUAAGUUCUAAAAUUGUAUUUGUGAUGCAUGUUAUAAUAUAAGCAAAAUGAAAAGUCUAAUAAGAGGAAAAGAAAGAUGAGAAAGGAAAACUUUUGUUGGAUACUGUUGGGGCAGAAAAUAGGACAGAACACAAUAACAGAUCAUGGAUACACAUCUUUAACCUCGCACCCCCCCCUCCCCCAAAAAAACACCAGAGAAAGUUAUUUCCUUGUCACCCCCUUGCAAAAUACUUGAAGAAUGUUGAUAAAUAUUUUCCCUUGAUAUCCCUUCUUUUCUCCACAAGUUUUCCAUCCAAAUGAUAUUAAUAUUCUCAUCUCCGGAGACUUGUGAAUACUGAUAUAAUUUUCCUGGUUCAAGUGAGAGACUGGUAAUGUUUGUCAAAAAUUACGUAAUGUAAGAUAUAUCUUCAAAUCUGCAGAGGCUGUAAACCAUCAACAUUUGCUUUUGUGCUGGCUAUCUUAAGGAAACAUGCUGAUUAUUUUUAAUCGAUAAUGGUUUUCUUAUUGACUGUCAACUAUGAAUUUAAAUUGUUCUUUCACUUUUCACUGGAGCAAUGACCUUCUAAGCUCUAAAGAAAUGAAUUCUUAUUUACGUCUUUCUGGUUAAAGUCCAAUAUCAUCUAUAUUUCAAAUGGUUAUGCAAAAUUUUUUUAGGAAAAAUCGCAUUGAAAACAUCCAACCUAAUUCAUAACAACUAUUAUUUUUGAUAAUUUUCCUUUAGUACUCGAUGUCUUUAGUCAUUUUGCCAGGGUAUACCAUGGGAUACACCAAUUACAACUUUUUACAAGUUUGAAUUCUUUGCUUGUGACUUUAUGUCAAUGAAAAAAGGGUGUAUAAAGGGCUAUCUUUAAGUGAUCUAGUAGCAUAAUGUACAGUGAGGAAAUAUAAAUGUGGGGGAGUCCUUGGAAAUCCUUUGCUGUCUUAAUUUUCUUGAGGAAGAUGUACCAGUUGGCACUGGCCUGGGGUUUUUCUGCCUGGCAAGUUCUGCAAGUACUCUGGUUGCUAAAGGUGAUUCUUCCGUGCUUCAGCAAUAAGUCCCCUUUUUCAUCUGUCCUUCCAUUUGAACAUGGUAAUAAGCAUGACUAAACCUUCAGGAAGUAGAUUGUAAGAAACUACAAAGGAGGGUAUAGAUUUGUAGCAAAAAUAGAAGAAGUGAUCAAUACUAUAAGGGUAGGGAAUGACAAAGAAUAUGCGUGCAUGCCCAUGCAUCUUCUGCUAACUGAAUUGUGGCAUUCUAAGAGGGUAUGAUAAAGGCUUUUAUUGUGCCUUUGACAAAGUGUCAAUCACUUCAAGGCUGCAGCUUAUGAUUGGUGGUAAGCCGCGUUGAUGAUUUCAUCAAAGACCUUCUUCAGAAUAGAAAGCAAAUUCCUGAGGAUUCAAGGUGGCCAUCAUUGUGCUUGGUUUCUUUUAGUUGUAAUAUUUUUUAGCAGCGGCUUUGAAGAAAGUAGUAUUUUAGGGGUCAAAAGAUUUCUGUGUAAUUAUUUUGUCUUCGUUAAUGUUAUAAAUGACACCAAGUAAGCUUCAAAAGAAGAUAUAUUUGCUCAUUGACCUUGAGAAAGACUGAAGGCAAAUAUACGCCUUUCCCCAUUUCCUUUGGUGUUUCUGUUUGAAUAUAUAUGUGUUCAUGAGUUCAAACAGAAGAAAGAUCUCUAACAACAUCUGUCCCAGUAUUUUAUUUAUGUUAUGUUUUGUGGCACAGGAAUUGUCUGGUAGGAUUAUCAGGGUAGAGCUUGCAAAGAGAUUCAAGAAACCCUCACGUUCACCUCCUGAGGUUCCUUCCCGUGGUGAGACCUGCCAUAAGUUGUAUGCAUCCAAUCUUGCCUGGAAGGUGAGGUCUAGCCACCUGAAAGAAUUCUUCUCUGCCUACAGUCCAGUUUCGGCUAGGGUUGUCUUCGAUAGUCCUUCAGGACGAUCUGCUGGGUAUGGUUUUAUCUCAUUUGCCACAAAGGAGGAAGCAGAAGCUGCAAUCUCUUCUUUGGAGGGCAAGGUAUUAACAAUAAACUAUUUCUGCUUCUAUUUGGUUGACUUUCUUUCAACUGACUUGACAACGGGGUUCACAGAAUUGUUUGGUGUGGAAACAAUUAUUUUUUUGUGACAUUAUUUUAUGCAUGUCUACAGCCUUCAAAGAACUCCAUCUUCUCCAAACUUCAUAUCAGUUUGUCUUGGUACAAUCCUCUAGGAGAGAGUGGGCAUGUAUAUCGGUAGCUCAUGGUAAGUUAGAAAGAUGUUAGAAUCAAUAUCAGGAACACAAGUAAUUUGAUUAUUUGAGACGUUGAUUGGGAUAUCCAAAUAUUGGAAACUAAAGAUCUAAACUAGAGUUUUAAGUAUGCAUGUGCCGGAUUUGAAAUGGAGAGUAUGAUGUACUUAACUAAAGGGAUUACUGAUGUAGUUAAGAGUUAGUAGUUUCAUUGGUGGAUGGUAGGAGUGUAUAAGGUGAUCAUGUCUUCAAGGAAGGAAUAACAAGUGAUAUUAGCUUUUAACAUGACGAGUUGGAUGAUGUUCAAGAUACCCAAACUUGGUUUUAUCGUCAAGUAUUAUUGCACCCUUUUGUGCAUCUCACUGUUACAGAUUUUGUAGAUACCCAACAAUAUACACUUGAAUAACAAGUGGUACUUACUUUCAACAUGACAAGUUGGAUAAUGAUCAAGACAUUCAAACUUGGUUUCAUCUUCAAGUAUUAUUGCACUCUUUUGUACUCGCUGCUAGAGACUUUUUACAUAUCCAACAGUCUACAGAAAUUCCAUGAGCCAAUGCCUAUUGAGCCUACUAAGCCUAGCACCUUCUCUAAAUUUUGUACAAGGCUGUCGAAGUAACCCUAGUAUGUGUAUUACAUAAUUUAUAUAUUUCAAUAUAGAGUGUACCUGAAGGACGUUGGGUUCUUCAGUAAAUAGCCAAUUAACCAUCACAAACAGAUUGUCAGAUUGAACAACUAAGUAAUGGAUAUUAGGAGCAUGGACACUCCUUUUGGGCCUGUGUAUGUUGAGAAGCAUCAAGUGGAAUUAGCAUUUUGAAAGAUGAUGUCAAAAGGAAGAAGAAACUGAUUUUGGAUGUAUUUCUGGUCGUUUUAGUGCAUUAAGUGGGGCCAGGAGUAAAAAGAGAAAUAAACUAGUGUAUAUGCUUAGCAUUUUAUUAGAAGGUUUUGCUAAGUCCUGAAGUUGAUGAGAAUACACGUUUUCUAUAUUCUAAUUGUGCACAAUCUGCACAUCUCAUGGCAGAAAUCUUUGGGUACAUAAACUUUUAUGCACUGCAAAUUGUAGAAAUAUGGACUUUGGGGAUAUGCUUUUGGUCCCUGCUUGUCUGAUAAUAACCCUUACUGAGAGUUCUGCUUACUGGAGAUUCUUCAUAGAGAAACUCACUAGCUUUCAACAUUCCCAAUGAUUUGUAUUAAGGGUUACACCUGUAAUUGUUUAUGAAAUGGUAUCUUACUGGCAAAUUAGUUUUAUUCACCCCUAUGCUUUCAUUUCAUUUCCUUGGUAAUUUUAUAGUGCUCAGAUUACAGUUUUAUUGCUGCUAAUCUUCACUUCCCUCCAAUGUAUAUACAUCUGCAACACUGGCAGGGUGAUCAACAAUUGUCUCUCCGUGUGAAACAUGAAUUCUUUAAUUCUAUGUCAUACAUUAAUUUAUGGUGUUAAUUCUCUAUGCUCUUACAUAAUUUUUUGGCAAGAGUUCAUUACAUUAUUUGUCAUCUUCGAUUUGCAUUUUGUAGGAGCUGUUGGGCAGACCUAUAAAAUUGAAGUUCAGUCAAAAGAAUGAUGACAAAUCUGAAAAUGAAGUGGAAGAAACGACCAAGGAACAACCUGCGGAUCAAUAGCUUCACACUGAUUCUGGCUUUGAUGAUGGUGCUUGCAGACAGAAGAGGAAAAUUACAAGUUAAGUUGAUGUUCUUCCUCUUAUCCUGUAUAUGAGCAGCCAGGAGCACCAUCAUCUACGUUUUUGCAUUUCCUUAGAUUAUACUCUGUAAGUACUCAAGCUAGCAGUCUGUAACGGCCUUCGUCUGUUGUAUGAUAUUCUCCCUGCAGAUUUUACACUAUACGGUCUUAGCAACGUAGAAAUUGUACAAUCAUGAAUCUUGUGGCAGCUCAAUACUAGGCACAUAGUUUGUGUACACAAAUAUGAUUGUGAAAUCUCCAUAGCAAUUACUUACAAAUAAAUGAGACUUUUCUUACUUUAGCCUUGGUGAAUCCUAGAAGUUCCAUUGAUAUGCUAUUGUGAGGCAAUGAAAAGAUUACCAGUGAGUUGACCUAUUUUUCCCCAAAAAAAAAAAAAAACACAAAUACAAGUUGUAAGGACUUCAAAUCAAUUGAAGAAACCAAUAAUUUCAAAAUUCGACCUCCGAAUGGGGUGGGAAGUUGAAUGAUGCCUACGAUCUUUUUUUCCAUUCGAUAUGCAAAAGACCGAGGCAUCAAACAUCGAGUCAUGCUAAAUUCAAAACCAAUCAAAUUUAAUUCAUUUUUUUCUUUCAAGGACUUAAUAAAGCAAAGUGAAAAGUAGUGGAAAUGGAUAUAGAGAAAAUGAACGGUUUCAUCCUUCACAUUUCACAAAAAUAUUCUUUUCGUCCUUCACUUUUAAAAUGAAGUAAUUUCGUCCUUGACAUUUAAAAACUAAAAUUAUUAUAUCCCUGAAUCCAAAUUUCAAUCUGAAUCAAAUCACCAAUCAACCUGAUUACAAAUUUUGGAGGUAUAAUUGGUAGAUCACUUGGUUAACUCAACUUGAUAUUCAUGUAAAAUUUAAUGAACCUAAAAAGAAAAAAUUAUAAUAUAAAAAAGAAAGAUUAAUCAUUUCUACAUUAUCAUUGUAUAUACUGACGGUUUUAUGUACCACCAUAUCAUUUUAAUUUAAAUUUAAACACCAAAUUUUAUAUUUAUGAUACACAUCUAGAUUCGCAAGCGGAUAUACUAACGGUGCAUGAAAAGAUUUAUCAAAAAAAAAAACUCUAUUAUUCCAAGACAAAGAAUGGCCUUUUAUGUUAUAAUUUUUAUUUUUUUGGUUUAAUAAAUGCCAUGUGAAUAUGAUGAAGUUGACCGAAUGAUCUAUCAAUUCUAUUUUCAAAAUUUAUUACUGAGUUAUUGGAUGGUUUGAUUCAUAUUGAAAAUUAAGUUCAGGGAUGUAAUAGCUUUAAUUUUUAAAUGUCAGAGACGAAUUUGCUUCAUUUUAAAAGUGAGGGACGAAAGGAAUAUUUUUGCGACAUGUAAGGGAUGAAACAUGUCAUUUUCCAAUGGAUAUAAUACAAGAUCUAAGUACAAAAUUUUGGUUUGUUUAAUAAAGAUCUAUAGAGUUAUAAACACAAGAAAUGUUCCCCUAGAUAUUUUUUGCAAAUGUGACCCAAGUAUAGGUGUGCGAACGAGUCGAGUCAAGUCAAGUUUUAACCUAAUCAAACUGGGUCUCAACUUAACUUUAAGAAACUCAAAUUCGACGAGGUCAAAAUGUCAAGUUCGAUCUUAAAUUUAAAAAAACAUAAUUAUUUUUAUUUUUAAAAAAUAAAUAAAAUAAUAAAUUUUCUUAACAAAUAAUAAUAUAUUAGAGAUAUAUAUGUAAAUUUACUAUUAAAAUAAAUAAAUAUAUAUAUAUAUAUAAUCGAGCUCGUGAACUAAUGGGUUUAAUAUUUUUGAACUCGAGUUCGACUUAAUCGACUCGAUCUCGACUCAAGCUUGGACUCGAGCGGCUCCGGAGCGGUUCAAUUCGUUUGCAACCUACCUGAGAGUAGGCGUGUAUCCUUGUAGGGUAGUUGUGGAAUCAUAUAUAUAUAUAUAUAUAUCUACCAACUAGAUAAGAGAACAACUCAAGUUCUCCAUUGAUGCCAAGUGUCAAGGUCUCAUUUGAGGAAACAAAUUUAAUUUCUUUAUUUUGGACAUUAAUGAGAGAGAAAUGUCUAUUUGAGCCUUGGUAUUGAAGUUCAAAGGGCUAAUAGUUCCUCACUAUUUAGGGGCUAAUUGGUAAAAAUAGUUGAAAUAUUUUCAUUUGAUUCUUUUGUUUGGUUUUUAAUUGGUGAGAAAGGUCAAUUAAAUCCUUUUAUGAAAAAUAGCUUUUUAAAUAGUUGCUAACUAUUUAGGGUUAUUUUUGUCCAUUUAAAUUAUUCCUUUUAUAUUUCUUUGGUCAAAUAUAAAUAGUUGUAAACUAUUUGGGUGUCCUUUUAUCACAUGGGGUCCUAAUUAAAUAUUCCAAAUAUAAAAGCCGUUAGACAGCCAAAGUCUUCCAAAGAAAGAUUACUUCUCCACGUCUUUGUUCCCUGCAUUAUAGAGCUAUGACGAAGCACGUGACUUCAGUCUUUUCUCGUUCCAAACUGUGGGCCAUUUUUGUACUCAAAAACAGUGAGGAAAGGAAAAGGUUUCGGCCCCUUUCUUUGGUUUGACAGGAACCAACGAAGUCAAAUAAAUGGUCUUAUUAGUCACUGAAGUUUUUCUUCAUUUAGGCAGAGUUUCCUUCCUCUUUCUUUGCGUCGCAUAGCCUCUUCCUUUUCGCCGAUUAGUAGCCAGCUAUAUGCGCCUGCAUAAUGUUCAAUUUUCAGCCAAUUCCUUCAACAACUUUGUCCUUCCUUUUGAUUGCAACCCACAAAUUCCUCCGCACGCACGUGAAUUUUUGUUUUCCCCCAAAAAUUAGGUCACUGAAAUUUCUUUCCCCAAAAUCUGCGAGCCUGCAAAAUUUUCAGUUUUCUGCCAAUUGUUCCAGCAACUAAUUGUACUUCCUUUCGAUUCACUUCCAAAAAAUCCUCCUCAUCCACGUGAAUUCUUCUUUUCCCCAAAAAACAGCUCAUUUUAGGUAUGGCUACUGUACCGAGUUAUCAUCCAUGGUACAGCUUUCAGAACUUUUUAUUUCCAGCCUUAUAUAUACAUUUGUUUCCCACUUUUGCCGGUAUUCAGAAGAGGAGCAAACAAAAUCUAGGUAUGUUUCUAUUUUCUCUCUUCUUAUUUUUGAGUUGCAAUUUUUUUACUUUGAAUGUUCUUCCCUCCUGUUUAUCAUUGGCUUCCGUUAAUUAGACACUGUCAUGUGUUUCAUAUUAUGCAUAAAAGAAUGAUUAUGAUGUAAUUUAUCGAUUAACUUAUGCUUAUUUUUUUCUCUGUUUUUAUUGAUUUCAAAUGUUGUUCGACUUUUGCCAACAUUUAGCCGAGCAAAGAAAAUAUAGGUAUGUUUCUAUUUUCUCUCCUUCCAUUUUGAACUGCAAUUUUUUUGUUUCAUUGUUGUUGCAUCUGUCUAUUGCCUUCCGUUAAUUAACGACCUCUAUGUGUUUCAUGUUAUGCUAUGAUGGUUAUUUUUCGGAUUAGCUUAUGUUUAUUUUUGCCUCUUUUUUAAUUUCAAAUGCUGCAUGAUGUUGUUACCUGUUUAUGUAUUGAAAAAUUACAUAAUUUAGUGUUAUUGUAGUUUGGGUUAUUAAGGUAGUCAUUCUAUAUAUAUUAGUUAGUUUUAGUUAUUCUAGGAUGCUUUGAUUUUGUCAUUGUUAUGUGCUUUUCGCUUAGUAUCUUACUUCCUUUAUAGUAUUUAUAGUAAAAUUAGAUUUUGAUCUUUUGUGUUUCAUAAUGAAGAAAAAAAGAAAAUUUAGUUCGAGUUUUAGACUGAUAGAUGAGAUAUUUGAUGAUGCUUUUGAUCUAAGCAUGUUAGAAAGAAGCAAAAAGAAAAACUUAAAUAUGCUGACUGAGCAUAUGAAGUUUACUGUCGAUUCUUCUAUUUCUCAGCCAUAUUCUCCUUUUGUAAUCAACAAUGAGAAUGACAUUUGUGAAAAUCACUUUGUUGAAACAUGUGUUUCACAAAAUCACAUCGAUAGGAAUCUAAUUCUGCCAACUGAUUGCAGAGGUAAAAAUGUUUGCUUCCCUCCAUAAAAUGCUGGAGGAAUUCAUCAUACCUCUGAUUCUACUGACAAACAUUGUUUGUUUGCAAUGAAUUCAUCUUUAAUCAAUCUGUCUGAUGUUCAGCCUGUUGGUUCAUCACAAGUCAACUGCAAUGAGCAAUCAUUUGUUAUAGGAAGUCAGUUUCAGAGUGAGCAAGUCACAAAUGUUAAAGGGAGAAAUGGUUAUUCUGAAAUACCAAAUCUAGACAUGCAACUAACUAAUUAUACUCCUUCCCUCUUUGUGAAUAAGCAUAUACCUAUAAUAGGUAGUACUCCAAUUAUAUCUUAUAAUAACAGGCCUCUUGAAUAUUUUGACAUAUAUGCUGGAGAGGUGAUAAAUAAGAAAGAAUAUAGAAGACAGGCCUACUUUAGAUGGAAAAAGAAAAGAUUCAGAGCAAAGUCUAGAUCAAUUGCUUCUACAAAUAUAAUUGAAAAGCAAACAAGCACCACAAUUGUUAAUCAUCGUUCCUCAGUUGUUGAUGUUCAGCAUAGUUCUCAAUGUCGUUCGAAGCAUCGCAGAUCAUCUCUGAAAAAAACUCAGCCAGGUCUAGAGUUAAUACUUUUUAAGUUUUCUAACAUGUUUUUCUCCACUGCCAUUAAAAUCAAUUGAAUGGUUUGAUUACUAAAUGCUGUAAAAUAAUUGUAUUUUAGGAAGAGGGUGCAAAACAGGAAGAGCUUUGUUGGAUAUAAUUCCUAACAAAGCUGAUAUCCUACCAACCCAACUAGAUUGUCCUCAUUGUGGAGCGAAGAAGUUUUUUUCUGAGACAACAUAUUUUUGUUGUCAAGAUGGUGAAGUUGUUUUAGCUCAAAACAAAAUUCCAGAUAUCUUUAAAGAGCUAUUGACUUCAUCUUCACAAGAGGCACAAUCUUUUAGAACUCUUAUUAGAACGUAUAAUAAUCAUUUUGGAUUUCCAUGCAGCCACCAAGUGAUGAACAAUAUCCAGUUCCAUAUAAGAGAACACAAUUUCCAAUUCGUUUGUGCUUUGCAAUGACAAUUAAUAAAGCACAAGGCCAAACUUUAGAUUUUGUUGGUAUAUAUUUGAAAGAACCUGUGUUUUCACAUGACCAAUUAUAUGUUGCACUUUCAAGAGUCAAAACAGCUUCGGCUGUAAAAGUCCUUAUCAGGCCAACUUAUUUUGAUGAAUCAUGCACUGAUCAUACUAAAAAUAUAGUAUAUAAAGAAAUUCUUAAAGCUUCCCAGAUUACAUUAUCUGGUUUUAACAUUCAUGGCCUUUUUUGUUUAGAAAUUUAUUAUUUUGUUUAAUUGACUCUGAUUUCUCUACCAAUAUAGGUCAUCAUGCCUAGACAUAUAUCUUCAGUGCUAGACAUUCAGAAAGGAGCAGAAAAGUGGACUGUUCUCGCACAAGUUGUUCACAGAAGGCACAAUCAACUAACUCGUGAAGUUCCACCGAGGCGAAUUAUGCGCUUUCUGCUCACAGAUACUGAGGUAUGCAAAUGAUUUUCUAUUUCUCAGCUCAUUAAAUUCAUCUAUGAGAAUAUUUUAGAUUUUGUAUAAGUACAUUUCAUGAUUUGUCUGUUCAUUACAUUUGCUUAAGGAAAAAUCCAUAGUAUUCAUGUAACUGUAUACAUACUACAAUAUUAGAACUAUAGUUUCAUUGCAACUGAAUACUCACCUAACUAUUAAAGUAUUCAUAUCUAUAAUUUUAAUUUCUGUGUGAUAAAUAUGAUAUUAACCAUUAACAUGACAGUUAUGUUUUAACUCAUAAUAUAUAUAAAACUAACUUUUUCUAAUCCUAAUCAGGGAACAAAAGUUUCUGUUGUGACUUAUGAACAACACAUCAAGAUCUUCAGCAAAUUUCUGCAGCCUUAUCAAAGAUAUUAUGUUUCUAAUGCAAUUGUGGUUCCUGCUGACCCAACAUACAGAGUUGGGAGUUAUGAAUGCUCCUGAAUUUUGAACUACAAGACUUUGAUUGAAAAUUAUGCUGAACCUGUGCCACCUAUGUUGCUUUGCAUAUUUGAGCUGACAAACUUCUCUGAUCUGCACAAAUAUGCUGAUUCAGAUAACCUUUGUAAUAAUUUUUCUUACAUUAUUUUUUAAUUUACUUGACAGUCAUUUGACAUUUUAUUGAUUUCUUACAUUCAUAUCAACACUUUUGUUUCAGAUAUUAGAGGCUUUGUCGUUCACGCAUUCCCAGUAAAACAGGCAGAUCCAGAUUGUGCUUCUAGAGACAUUAUAAUAGUGAAUGAAGAGUAAUCAAACCUGAAUACUAUCAUUUUAUUAAGUCGUUUUAGAUUAAUAGCAGUAGUUACAAUUUGUUUGUUAUACCUGACAGGAAGAAACUCAUGCUUAUGACUCUCUGGAAUGAAUUUGAACAUGAUGAAGGGAGCAAAAUAGCAGACAUGAUUAGCACUGCCCCUCUAAUCAUAGUUCUCCGUGUUAAAGUGACCACAUUCAAUAGUAAAAUUUUCACUAUGCAUUAUGAUUUCUCUAUUGUUUGGCUUCUUAGUACUUUAUGUUAUAAUUACUAAACCAUUUCACCAUUUUUACAGUUUUGUCAUUCACUACAAGGUAUUCAUCUGGAAUUCUGAUUAGUCCUCCACUCCCAGAUGACCUCUUUUUCAAGCAAUAGUAAGUCUACUUUUUUUAAAAUUUUUUACCUUAAAUUAUCAAUUAAAUUUACUGGUACAUUUUUAAUUUGUGUUCUAAACAUAAUCAUUCAGGUUUACUUUGAACAAGGAAGAAAUCUAAAAUUUGCUUAAUGCUAAAACAUACAGUGAUGCUAACUGUUUACUUUCUCCUCCAAAUGAAGAGGAUAUCAAAGCAAUCAGCACUUUUCAAGCAUCAUUUUCAAUUGUAAGAGCUAUUUGAUAUUUUCAAAUUCUGCUUAAAUAUAACUUUUUUGUCUCUAAUUGACAUUCAAAUACCAUUCUUGGUUGCUUGACUCAGCAAAAGGCAGCUUGGGUGCAAGGAACUGUCAAACUUGCAUAUGGAUUCACCAAAUAUUGGACUACUACUUGUGUGAAUUGUCACAAAAUUGUGAAUGCUAACAUUGACUGGAUCAUUCAUUGUCCUUCAUGCAAACAGCAAAGUGAAGUUGAACUGAGGUUAGACCAUAAACUUAUGCUUCUAAAUUAAACAUUCUUCGCAUUUAUUACCAUAUAUUAAUCUUAAUUCCUUCACUUGACUAAAGGGCUCGCAUUCAAAUUAUAAUAACUGAUCCUUCGAGGUCAAUACAUUGCAUUAUAUCUGGAGAAGAUGCUGAAAAAAUGAUUGAGUUCACUCCACUACAACUUAAGCAAGCACAGGAAGAUGUAAGUACAAAUUUCAUGUCUUAUAUUCAGCCAUAAAUACAAAUAUACAUAGACAAGAAUUCACAGAACCUAACUUAAAAAUUUUUUUGCUGUAGGGCUUUGGAAUAGAUAUUGAACUUAAUGAUGCCUUGAAAAAAUACACAGUUGUUUGUUUUCUGAAAUCAUAUAAGACUCCCUUCCAAGGUCAACUGCAGAGAAAGAAUACUGUCAUCAAGGCUUACAUUGCAACUGAACUAUCGCACCAUCCCCUUCCACUGGCACUUCCAGAAAACACUCAAGUUUCUUCUGCACUUGGCAGUUCAUCAGCAAGGCAUCCAGAAAAAUCAUAAAAGGAUCAGAUGUUCACCCCAACGACAAAGUUGGUACUUGAAGAAAUUGCUGGAGCCAGUUCUUACAAAGAAGGGCAGACGUCUACAACCAGUGGAGCAAAAAAAAGUCUUGACUUUCCAGAAUAUUUACCAGCAGACACACUUCCUGAACAUGCAACAAAGAUUGCUGAACAGUUUGCCAAAGAACCUGCAAAAUCAUAUAGCCCUCCUGGCAAUAUGAAGGAUAGUCCAGCAAAGAAAGCUAAAGCAAAGGAAGACUGAUAUGGUCUAAUUCUAUACUUUUGUUAUCUUUUGUUCAUUGCCUUGAUGACUGUCUUGAUUGCUUAGACAAUAUCUUUUGAAUUAUAUUAUGAUCCAUUAUUCUUUUGACUUAAAAAGUAAUGUAUCCUAAUAUAUCUAUGAAUGGUUUAACCAUCAAUGUUGUAAUUCAAUAGGCAAUGAAGCUUAUUUAAACCCCCUAAUAUGUAACUGUGGCUUGAAUUGAAGUGUGUGUUCUGCUAAGACAUGAAUGAUUGAGUUUAUGUAAUCUAUGGUUGUGAUUUGCAUAUUCAUUAUUUACCUAUUCAUUUUUCAGUUGGUCAUAUAGAUAUAUGGUCUCGAUUGCCCAGCUGUGAUUGAGUUGUUGUGAUAAAUAUGAUAUUAGUUGAUCAUAUUAGUGGGUAUAUAUAUAUCUAUACUCACACACACAUGGAGGGAAUUAACACUUGCAAGUUGAUGGAUGUAAUUAUUUGGCCUGUCGCAAGCGUGAAGGACAACAAAUUCAGAAAACUGUACGAAGAUAAGCGUUGCCCUUGUGGGUUCUGCUUAUAUUGUUUGUUUAUGGAUAAACAUAUGUUGUAGCAAAUCUUGGUGGGAUAUACAUUGUCUCAGAGAAACUGAAAAGAGAAAACUUUCUUGGAGUUUAUAUUAUAUAUAUACACAUUUUGGAACACAAAUAAGCAUAUGAGCUACCAAAAGAACAAGGGUUGGUCAAGAUAAACAGUCACCCUUUCUCCCCACCCUUUCUUUUACUUUUUAAAGUUACUGGGAUGUGUUUCUGCAUAGGAGUGAAUAAAUUCUUGAUUUUAACGCCAAUCAUAUUCUUGACUGAUUUUGAUUCGAGUCUCGAGUUACCAAGAAAGAUACCUGAUUGACAGGAAUACUCCAGCCCAUCAUAUUCUUUAUAUAUAUAUAUAUAGUUGCUGAUUAGUGCUUUAACGAAAAAGAAAAAAAAAAUCAGUCACCAUGAUUCAUCUCAACAAAAGCUAGUUAGCUAUAGGAAGAGACAGAGUGCAGUUUGACAUUCUUAAUAUUCCAUUCAAAUCAAAGCUUUAUUCUUGAUCACUCCUGUUUGGAUAUCAAUUGAUGAAUUGAGUUUGUAAAGCUUGAGAUGACUUGGUGUUAUUUGCGCAUAGCCUACUCCUUAAUAUUCAUUAUUAAAAAAAAAAUGAGAGUUCCACAUCUUAAAAGUGAAGGGACAAAAUCAUGAAUUUUACAAAGAAUGAAUAUAUGCCAUAUUUUAACCAACUCGUCUUAGGUGCAUUCGUCACCAUUCAAAGCAUGAGAUGCAGGUCUGACUGCUGCAGGCUGCGCAUAGAGUAAAAUUUAAAGGGUGUGUAGUAAUGCAUUCUUUCAUUUAGAAAUGGAAAUCAUUCAUUAUAACCCUCGUUAUCUAGUUAGGUCAUUUUUUAGAUAAGUAAGGAGUAAAAGUACUGUAGAAGUGAUUGAUUGGUCAAAAAAAAAAAAAGAAUAUAUGCCCUAUGUUAAGUGGCGUUUACUCUUCUUCCCAUUUAUAGGAUUCCCGGACCUAUAGGACUAUGAUGCCCCUUGGAAAACGAAGGUGACGAAUCAUUUGACAUAUUUAGGCCUAGUUUGGAUUGCGAUUUUUCAUCGGAAAAUUACGUCAUUUUUUGUGAUCAUAUUUUCCUAUUAAUUUUUUCCCUCACAUACAUCAAAUUGCUAUAAUAAUUUUUCCAUGCAAAAUGCAAUCCAAACACAACCUUAGAUUUUUCUAUCAUGCUAUAUCCUACGUUACCUAGAUCCUCAUCUUUUCCAGAUACACUGCACGGGUAGCAUAUAGCCAUAGAGUACCAAAAUUGUUGUUUUUUCUAGGGAAAAUCAACUAGUUUGUCUCCAAUUUUCAAUCGUGCUGAAUAGAACAUUCCCCUUUAAAUCAUUCUCCCUCCUCUCUUUUCUUUCUUCUUUUUUCUUUUAAAAAUUUGUUCUGUAUUUUUGAUCAGCUAGCUUCUAUUUGUCUAUUUAUUCAUUUAUGGACACAUUUGGUCAUCUAGCUUUGAAUGAUACUCUUUUUUUUUUGGAAAGAUAGCUUUGAAUGACACCGAUACCCUACUGAUCUUUUAUCUAGUUCUGCAAAGUUGGGCAGGUUCAAGUCUUGCAGCUGAAUAUGAUUUCAAUCACUGGUUCAGGUAGAUCUAACUUGAUGGAUGGCUGCAAUUCAAAUCAGAUUUCGAUGUCUCACAUCAAUACAGUUUCUGUUGUUUCAACUUUCUAUUUGUCGGUGAAGAUAUGGUAAAUUGUGUCAAUUUCACAUCUUUAUCUUUAUGAAAAAGGGCAACUGUCUCGCUCUGAAUACACAUGCAAUGUGAUAUUCAUUCAGCUACUUCACUUUGGCUAGUGGCCUCUUGAACAAUGAUAUAAAAGCAUUGAUUACUUUGAUGAAUUCCCAACCAACAUGACCACCUUAGCUCUUUGUCAACAAACCAUUAUCUGAAAAAAAGUUAAACAAAGGAAUUGAUAAAGAAAAGAAAAGAAAAGAAAGAGGAAAAGAAAAUGGACUAUAACCAAUCAAAGAACAGUCUUCCUCGGCUUUCUAUCCAAGCUGCUUUUUUCUGCUUUUCCACCUUCAGCCUUCAGCUCAUAUUUUCAACAAAUGUCCCAUCAGAGCACUCUCUCUUAUUCUUCAUACUUGAUACUCGCUCUUCAAUCCUCUCAAACUUUCCUCAAUUUUCAUCUCAAAUCAUGUUAUAUAAUUAAAUGUGCUCCCUCCCUCCCUCCAAAAACAGUUCUUAUCACUGCAUAGAUAAGCAAACGUUUACUUUCGUACUUUGCUUAUGUUUUUGUGCUGUGAUAAACCAGGCAUUAGUUACUAUUACUCUAAUCUUUCUUUCUGUCUUCUGUUCAAGAUGGGUUCUAUGGCCAGCCCAGAACCUUGGGUUGCUUACACAAACACCAAAGAUUGUUCUCAGGGUUUUUGUAGUGUUUACUGCCAACAAUGGUGCUAUAAGGAAUUCCCUCCUCCACCUCCCUUUGAAUUCCCUCAUGCAAGUGCUGGAAUUUGCUUUCCACCUUUUGUUAUUGCCAUUAUAGGCAUUUUGGGAAGUGCUUUGCUUCUUGUGAGUUACUAUGCAAUAGUUUCCAGGUAUUGUAAGAAGAGAGAUUCCUCCAGAAGGAGAGAAACUCACUUCCCAAUUGUAGAAUCAGUGGAGAAUCAACAUCCUUCAAACCAUGAGCCCUGGAUUGUUUCUUCUGGCAAUGGCUUAGAUGAGGCUCUGAUCAAGUCAAUUACACUGCUCAAGUACAAGAAAGGAGAUGGCCUAAUUGAAGGGACAGAUUGCUCGGUUUGUCUAAGUGAAUUUCAAGAUGAUGAAAGCUUGAGGCUUUUACCAAAUUGCAGCCAUGCUUUUCAUGUAAUGUGCAUUGAUACUUGGUUCAAAUCUCACUCGAAUUGUCCAUUAUGUCGUGCAAACAUUGCUUUUGCCAAUGCUUCUUCUCCUUCUCAAUUGCCUCCUGUGAUGGAAUCUCCACCAGGCAAUGAGUCCACAUUGCAUAGCAAUCACGAGAUUGAGAAUGUAGCUUCUGAAGAAGACUUGGAGAUGGGAAUCAGAGAAGCAGAAUCACAGAAUGACAUCGCGAGAAUUCCCACCAGACAGGCUACCAAUUUGGGCACUUCAGGUGAUCACAGCAGACUAAGUAGCGCUACAAUUGAAGAAUGCGAAAAAAUAACAAGAUCAGUGUCUAUGGAUUGCACAAGUCAGAGGCGAUUAUCGUUAGCUGAUGUUUUGCAGAUUGAUCGGGACGAAGAAGAUCAAUCAAUGGAAAAGAUCACGCUUAGAGAUGAUGUUGGGACAUCAAAACAACCACAUGUAGAUAUGAUCAGGUCUAGCAAUAGGAAUAUAGUGUUGCAUUGUGUCUCAAGCCCAGCUAUUCUGAAGAAACCAUUUUCGAGUGCUAGAUUUCUUUUCACAAACGCUGGAAGGGAAGGCAUGAACUAAUUCCCCUGUGAAAUUUUGGAAAAUACAUUAUCAAAACGAAAAGAAGAAAUGUCAUAGAGCAAUCAAAGCUCCUAUUUUAUUAUUUUUGUUUUGCUUGUCCUUAAAUUUUUGUUUCCUUCACCGGAGAAUAAUGUUUUUGCCUUGAAUUUUUGAGGUCCAAAAAGCAACUAAAGUGAAGAAGUUUGCAUGGACAGCACUUGCAUGUUUCUCCUUUCUUCUUUACAAUUCCACUCUUAGUUUCAAUCUAUUACUUGGCCAUUCUUGACAUUUAUUCAUCCAGAUGAAGAAACCAGCUCUCGUUCAGUGUUUUGUUUUUCGUUCUUAUUGGCACAUGCAACACCUUACCCUUUAUUUAUGUUCUUCAUCACAAGUGCCAUAAAUUAAUGGUAGGCAAUCUGCAUUUGCAACUGAAAUUUGGACUCUUGAAUGUUUCUAUUGCUCGUGUUUAUAAAUCCACCAGUUCUUCUGAUAUUAGUGUUUGAAGAUUAGAUUUGGACUGCUUGAACAAAAUGAAAUACUCAAUAGUUUUUAAUAAUUUCUGAUUAGAAGACUAAACCAAAAGUUACUAGUAAAUAAAUGUUUAAUUGCCUUGAGAAAGAUUGCUUUGUCCAGCCAAGUAACUUUCUGUGUGUGGGAUGUUUUGAUGAAUAUUUGGUAAUUAUAACAAUCUAAAAAGAAUAUUUAAUAUAUUGGACAAGUAAGCAUGGCCUCCUCAAAAUCAUUAUAGCAAGCCAACAAAUGGCCCAAAAAGACAUUCUUGACGUUUGAGCUAAGUUACAUAAUCAUAUCCUCAAAAGAAGAAGAAAGAGAGAAGACCAGAAAAAAAAGAAAGAAAGAAACCGAGAAUCAUGCCCAACAUAAAUUCCAGGUUGGGACAAGUUUAUGUACUAUAUUAUUCAAACUUCUUCUUUUCGUGCAGUAUCAUGGAUUAUGACAAAUGAAAAGGAAAGGAUAAUAGUGUCCUUCAGAUUUGGCCUUGCUGCAAAAUUGUGCUUAAAACUAGGGUUGCAAACGAAUCGAGUCGCUCGCGAGCGGCUCGAGUCAAGCUCGAUAUUAAUCGAGCUCGAGCCGACUCGAAUCAAACUCGAGUUAAGAAUAUUAAGCUCGUUAGCUCGCGAGUCGGGUCGCGAACUUGAGUAUAUAUAUAUAAUUUUUAUUUAAUAAUAAAAUUACGUAUAUUAUAUAUAUUUUUUUAUUUUUUAUUUUUAUAGUAAAAUUACGUAUAUAUCCUUAAUAUUUUAUUAUUUAUUCAGAAAAAAAAUAUUAUUUUAUUUAUUUUUUAAAAAAUAAAUUUUUUAUUUUUUAUUUUUUUUCGAGCUCGAGCUCGAGCUCGGCUCGACUUGAUUCGAGUCGAGCUCGAACUCGAAAAUUGCCGACUUGUCGAGCUCGAGCUUGAUAAAAUUUAGUUGAGACUCAACUCGAUUAGCUCAAAACUCGACUCGGCUCGACUCGUUUGCAGCCCUACUUAAAUCAUUAACCCGUUAAACAAAAUUCUGCCCUUCUGUUAGUGCCCUUUUGUUCAUUACACAUAUACUACUACAUAUUCUGGCUGAUGAUCCCAUGGCGAAUGGUUGCCAAACCACGCCUUCAUUUACGCACUUGCUGCUUAAAAAAGUUGUUGAGCUUGCUUGCAUGAACUCUUGGCGGGGUGCAAGGAGGGUUUUCGGAUUCCCCUUCUUACAAAUGUUCAAUCAAGUUGUUGGUUAAGCCAAAAAAAAAAAAAAAAAUCCUAACGUGUACUUAAAUUACAUCUAACCUACUAUGUGAAUACGUAAAAUCAUAAUUAUUGCACUCGUGCAUUUAGGCCUUGUUUCAUAACCCAAUUCAGCACUUAAAUUUAAUGGAUUUAUUUGAUAACCAAAAUUGAACAUUUAAAUUAAUUAAGUGGCACUGAAUUUUCUAGGCAAAACUUACUCCCAAAAUUAAGUGAUAAGCUAUUCACUUGUUACUGAAUGUGAUGUGCACUCAAAUGUAUUAGAUUUAAUACUUAAAAAUUUAAUAAUUUAAUAGAUUCAAAAUUCAGAUUUUAAAUUUCAAAUUUCAGUUUUCAAACUUUACUUUUAUCAAACACACCUUUAAAUAUUUUUUCAGAUUAACUGCUAACUAGCAUCUAAAACCCCUUUUAACGAACACCCUUAAGCCCCCCCCCCCCCCCCUCCUCAAAAAAAAAAAAGGUUACCUUGUCAGAUUAGUGGAUUUGUUGGCCUAUGCCACCAGUAUUCACACCUAGAUUUUGUCAUUUUGUCAUCCAAAUAUUAUGGUGUGUGAGAAAUCCACAUAUAAAACAAAGGGUAUAAAUAUUUUAAACAACUUUUGGGGAGUCAGAAUUGUUCGGAAAAUUGCGUUUCAAGUGGAGGAAAAAAAAAGUGGGGCCUAAACUCUGCUAACUGAUUCCUGAACAAAGUGCCGGGAAGGGUGGGCACUGAAGAGUGAAGGCGAAAGGAAACAUGACAUCAAAGAGGUAAACUAGAGUUAGUACAAAUUUUUACAAAAAACAGUAGUCCCAGAUCGAAGUCUGUUUACCAAGAACACCUCUAUAGAUGCUACUGUCCAGCACCGGCAAAACUCGCCAACCAGGAGACUCUUCGAAUGGGGUGCAAGGAGGGCUUCCCAUGACCGCCUUCUUAGGCUUUUGGCCCGUGGAACUAGUAAUUGUUUAUAUGGGCUAAAGAAGUGGGCUUUGACAAAGUUCCACUUGUAGUUGUCUUCGCAAUGCUUUAAAACUCAAUUCGAACCAGCUGGUUGAACCAAUUGAACCAUCAACUAGAAUCCUUUUUGGUCUGAAUUUGCUUAAAAAACCUAUUAGUAUCAAUUUAUAUUUAAACCAGUUAAAUCGUCUGAUUCAACCACUGAAUCAUUGACUCAAAACGGUUUUGUGAGAACCGAUCGGUUCAAUAUCAAGCCUUGAUUAAGCCAACAAUUUUAAAUUUGGUUAACUAAUCUUAUUAAUGAUAUUCCAAAUUUAAUAUUUUACCAAUUAUUCAUGCAUAAUUAUCUCCAAUUAAUUAGACAAUAAUAAAUAUUUCCUUAUUCGACUCAUUUAUCUCUCUCCUUCAUAAUUGCAUAUUAACUCUUGUUUAACAUAUAUAACAUUUAAUUGACUAUAUUAGUUUUUUCUCGAGAUAACUCCAAUGCCUAUGCUAGACCAUAGGGAGUUCAGGAGUUGAAGGCAAGUAUAUAAGUUGACAAGUGGAUGAUUUUUUGGGGUGUUUGGAAGAGAGAUAUUUAUACCCGCAAGCAAACCGUAGUAUGAAUCUCGAAAAAUGAAAAAUGAUGUGAUAGUAAUAAGGGUAUCAUAGCUCAAACCCUAAAUGUGUAAUAUCUGUAAGAUAUCAGAUUAGGUGUCAGAUGCGAGUGUCAGCCACGUGUCAGCGAGAGACAGCUAAGCAAAUCCAAGAUUGUGUGAGGCUUCGAUAGCUGCUUCAAGAGGCGAAGAAGGUAACCAAGUGGUCCCACAAUAUUAUUUCUAAACAAUUCAACAUUCUCCAAAAAAAAAUUAUAUUUAAAAGAGAAGAAGGUAUUGUUUCUAAGAGUUUUAACUGAACUUCUCAAGUUCACCACAGUAAAUUAGAGGGAAGAGUUCCAUUUAGUAACUUAUGCAUGGAGCCCAAAAUUUGUUUGUUUUUUUUUUUUUUUAUAAAGGCUACCUUGUUUGGAUUAUGAUUUUUCACAAAAAAAAUUUUACAUUUUCUUUUAAUACAUCUCCUAAUCACAUUUUUAUCUCCCAUAUAUUCGUUUUUCUAUAAAAAAAAAAUUUCCAAUAGUAGCAAUCGUUAAAUUCAUGACAACCAAUUUGAAUUUCAAAUUCUGCAUAUAUGUUAUGCACCUUAUUGUGAUACUAUAUACACUGUAAGUAAAUGUAAGAUCAAUUCAAAAAAUAAGUACUUUAUUUUUAAGAUUAUUUUUUUUUUGCACAUUGACGGUGCAUAAAGUAACGGGUGUUGAUGGCUUGAAGAAUAUCAUAUAUGUAAAGAAAUUAAAAUUAAAAUUUAAUUUAUAAUUAAGUGAUAUACAUUCAAACCUGUCAGUGUAUAUCCUCACUAUAUACAAGAUUUACCUUUGUCUUUAUAUCAAAUAGUUUAGCUCAUAACAUAAAAGGCAAUAAUUUUGAAGAUAAUGCCAGCAUCAAAAUAAUGCCAGUUUCAGUGGUUUUGGUUCUGACUUCUUGUUUCCAAUGCAGAUUGAUCAUCUGGUUUUUCUACUGUACCGGUUCCAUGCUCUAACAACAUAAUAAGGCUUAAUUUUAAAUCUCUGUUUCCACAACUAAACUUAUACAAACUGGUUGAGACAUUCAUCAACUGUGGUACAUUUCGUAUCAGCAAAAAACUCCCAUCCUUGGACCGCAGAGCCAGUCAUAUUUGUCAUUUUCCUUUUCCCUUUUUUUAUCAUCUGGUUAAUAUCUUUUGAGUAAAGUACAAAAAAGUCCCCUGUGUUAAACCUAAUAUAUAGAAAAGCCCCUUAUAGUUUCAAAAUAUACAACACGACACUCCAUACUUUGAAUUAAAUUGUAAAGGUGACGGAAUCCGUUAAACUUAACGGAAAUGAUUUAUUGGAAUCUAAAAAAAAAAUUUUAUACCUAGUUUUUAACAAAUAUACUUAUUCUACCCCUUAACCCUCAAUUCUCUCUAUCUUGAAAAUAAAAUAAAUGAUUUUUUUAACCUGUCUUUUGCUUAAUUAUACCAAGGCAUUCUAGUCAUUUCAUCCAUUUCCGUAAGUUUAACGGAUUCCGUCAUAUUUACAAUUUAAUUCAAAGUACGGGGUGUCGUGUUAUAUAUUUUGAAACUACGGGGGACUUUUCUGUAUACUAGGUUUACCACAGGAGUUUUUUUUUAUUUUUUACCCAUAUCUUUUUCACCAACUGAGUUGGGUUUGGGAACACAAAUUUCUUCCAUUAUAGGAGAUUUUUGUUUGGCAUGUAGAGGUGGUGGAUUCAUCUGGACACUAGCUUUCUGAAAUGGCCUAAUUUGGUGCUGAGCCAAUGAGCUCAAACUAGACGUUAUAGACUUAGAGUCUAGGUCCCCCCAAGAUUCUUGUUGGAUAAACUUUAAAUUGUAGAAAGGAAAACCCCGUGAAGGCCAUUAAUGCCAAAAAAUUUGCAUUCAUUCCACUAUGUUUCAUUCCCCGUGAUCCCAUAAAUUAGCUUUCUUCAAUAAUCCACCAACCCAUCUUUGAUUCUGCCAUCAUAUUCAGUAUUCACCAACUUCAUUUCGUGCAUCAUAAAUAUGAUAUCCCAGUGUUACAAAAAGCCCACAUUUUCUCCCAAGCAAAUGAUCAAGUCCUCCGGAAAAUCUGUCCAUCUAUGCAACAUGGAUAAACUUUCCUCGCUCAUGGAAACUCAUCUGCUGCUCAUCUUAGUAUGCAUUCCUCUGGGCAGGUCCUUGACGGUGACCGUGCCCGAUUCCAGCUCGCCAUCAGCCCUAGUCGACGGCCCACAAACUGCAUUCACCGUGAACAACAAUGGUGCUCGAACAGAUAUCCGCGAACAAGAAGCAGUUUACGACAUCAUGCGAGCCACCGGGAAUGAUUGGGCCACCGAUAUACCGGACAUUUGUCGCGGCCGGUGGCACGGGAUCGAGUGCAUGCCGGACAAAGACAAUGUGUAUCAUGUAGUGUCCCUUUCCUUCGGUGCGUUGUCUGAUGAUACUGCAUUUCCAACUUGUGACAUAGCCAAAUCCUCCAUUUCACCUUCCAUCACAAAACUCCCACGCCUGAGGACUUUGUUCUUCUAUCGCUGUCUUACUAACAAUCCUCAGCCCAUCCCAUCAUUUUUGGGCCGGUUGGGAAAAAGCCUACAGACUCUGGUCCUAAGGGAGAAUGGCCUUGUUGGGCCCAUCCCAAAUGAGUUGGGAAAUCUCACCCGUUUGAAAGUGCUUGAUCUUCACAAGAAUGAGUUAAACGGUUCGAUACCCGGUUCACUUGGCCGGAUCACCAGUCUAAGGUCGUUGGAUUUGAGUGGAAACCAACUCAGCGGUCUGAUUCCUGACCUAAGCUUCCCUCAAUUGAAUGUGCUAGACCUCAACCAAAAUCAUCUUGUCGGUUCAAUUCCCACCACUCUCAUGAAUUGUCCUUCGCUGAUAAAAUUGGACAUGAGCCGUAAUUGCCUAUCCGGUCCAAUCCCUGAGUCAAUCAGCGGUCUAGAGAACCUAAUUCUCUUAGACUUGGGCUACAAUAGUCUCGCCGGUCCACUUCCAGCGUCUCUGAAAGAAUUGAAUUCCCUUCAAGCUUUGUUGCUCAACGGCAACCCGACCAUGUCCACCACAAUCCCAAGCUCCAUAUUUGAUGGUCUGAAGGACUUAGUGGUUCUAAUAUUAUCCGAAAACAAUCUGCAGGGAAUAAUACCCGAGUCACUCGGCCGGUUGAGAAAGAUUCGAGUUAUCCAUCUUGAUGGGAAUAAGUUGAAUGGUUCAAUUCCAGCCAGUUUUGGGGACCUGAAUGACCUCAGUGAGCUAAGGCUAGACAAUAAUUUGUUAAUGGGACCUGUCCCAUUUAAUAGAGACAUGGUUUGGAGGAUGAGAAGAAAAUUGAGGCUCAACAAUAACUCUGGUCUAUGUUAUGAUACGAAAAGUGGGCUUGGAGAUGAUCUUGCUACAUCAUCUGAUUCGGUCAUUGGAAUUUGUGAGACAUCCAAAUAUGGAAUGGCAACAAAAGCCGUCCGACAUAUUUCUACUAUUGAUGGAACAGAGUUGGGGCCGUUAGGUACCAAAUCAGCUGGUAGAGUUCAGAAGCCUGCAGUCGCUUGUUUCAUGCUGCUACAACUUGCGAAUUUUCUUCUGUUUGCUGUUUAUGUAAUGUGACACUUCGGAGGGGAAAGCUAGGGAGGUGUAUAAAGUUAAUACCAGCGUUAUGAAUCUAAAUGGUAAGUGUAUAUCUAAAUGUUUCUAGAAAAUAGGUUUCCACACAUUGUAGAUUCCAAAUUUGAUCCCAUAAAUAUAUUGUGAUCUUGCAUGUAAGCAAUUUUCCUCGAGGACUUAUAUUUGAACAGUGCGAACUGGGAAUUUGAAGCCAACAACGCCCUAACGUUUCAUAUCAGUUUAACAGGGAAAAGAAUUAUUCUGGACAUAGACUAAUAUUGCUAACUUUACUCUCUACAAUAUUUGUUUUACCACCGGAUUAUGGUCUCUUUCCUGAUACCUUAGGACUGUUGAAAGGUUUUGCAACGACCCAGAGCCAAAUUUUGGCGAAAAGGCAGCAAAAAAGUAUAAUCCCACAAGUUCAAUUAAGGGGGGAAGAGGUUAAGUAAGCUAGCAAUUCACUUUCACUUUGAUGAGGAGAUUCUAGACCCUAUGUAUUUUAGUACACUUUUGUAAAGUCCAAAUUGAGCCCUUGCUCAUAUAUUGUACUAUCCUUUUAUUAGCAAUGAAAUCUCUAUCGUUUUCGGAAAAAAAAAAUUAAGGGGGGAAGAGAGCUAUAAUUGCGGUGUUUAUUUUUUCAGCAUCUGUAUUAAUCAAAGUACCGUAUAUUUGCACUUUCAAGAUACUCUAAAUAGUAUAUGUUUUCACUUUUAUCCUACCCACACUCUUCGUACCUCUAACUAUCAGGUUUAAGAUUUGAAUUCUGAACCUGAGUUUGGAGAGAACCUCAAAAGUUACAAAUCACUAGACCGACUCUAAUAAUUCUCUUUGUAUAUUUCGUCAUUUCAAAAGUUACAUAUAAUGUAAAACACGAGCUUAGCUGUCUACUAUAAUAAACUAUCUUCUUCAGACCGUGUCAGGCACUCAUUCUAGAAGGCCUAAACGAUGAACUGUUAAUAAUCGAUUAGCACAAAUCUGUGAUUACCUUUUCCUUUCGCAUGGAAGCUGCCAUGAAUUUUAUGGUCAUAUCAUUUACGCUUUACUCUUUUAGGGUGAUUUCCUAAAAAGAUGUAGCUCAAGAACAAAAUCUUUCAAAGGGCUCCGGAGUUACAUUGGGCCGGAUUGGAUCUCGUCACUCCCAGACCCGCUUGCCCACCAUGGACUGGGUAAGCACUUUCAACCUAGGUUGGAUGGCGUGUCGGGGCGAAAAUGGUAUGGACUCCGGAUCUUGGAUUGCUCCUGGAUCUUGAUGGGCUGACGGUUCUUAACCAUCCAAUGUUUCACAGGUGCUCCAUCCAUCAAAGUAUCAAACAACUACUUUUUAGACUUUUCCCCCAUUUGAUUGAAGAUUUUUUACUUUUAUUACUGUACAGUAGAGGUGUGAUUCGGACGGAUUUGAACGGAUUAUAACUGGAUAUUGGAUAUAAUCAAAUCAACUCAUUUAUGCCUAUUGGGUCAAAAUGAUUAUACUCAUUUAAGAAAUGGGUAUGGAUAUAUCUAAUGACGCAUUUAUGACUCACUUAAAAUUUUACUUAUUUUUUCAAAUUUUUUUCACAUGUUGUUUGAGAAAAAAUGAUGACAUUUCAUUGUUAUUACAUUGAUAAGAAAUUCAAAUUUAUGUGCUGAACACCCAAUAAAAGUUGCUAAUUUUUAUAUAACUUACUAUUUCAGACGAAAAACUUAGCAACGAAUUUUUAGUCAUUAUCCUAUAUAGGUGGAUGAAUCCAACAAAUAAUUAAAGUGGUCACUAAAAAUGUGAUGACCUAUAAUAUCGGGUAAAAAUCGUCUCGUUACUCUGACGAUCCUUACCGAAGCAUUUUCCCCUAGCUGUCGUCUAGUUAACAUCAAAAUAGAUCAUUUAUCCAAAUUUAGAUUGAGAUGAAUUUGUUUAUAUACGUACAUCAAUUUGUAUGAACUUUGUUGAAAAUAACAUCCAAAUCAUAUUUCUUCAUGUUAUUAAAUUAAUUGUACUUUCCGUAAGGUUAUUACAUUUCAAGGGUUUCUGUUCUAUUUUAUCCCUCUCAAAAUAUUUGAACCACGAGGAUCAGUAAAUCUGGUGAGUUUUGUUCGGCAAGUCCUGUUAAGGUAUGCACCACAUUUGUACCAAGUGCAAGUAGUUAUUUUAAUUACCACACAAAGUUAAAAGACAAACCAUUGCAACAACAAGAAGAAGAACCUCAUCUUGAAUCGUGUGAAGGAGAAAUGUUCACCUAGUCAUCCACUUCGACUGGUUGUGCCAAUAGGAACUUACUAACUAGUUACACAAUGGAUCAUGCAGAGUUGCACAAACAUGCGAUGUGUAGGCUGUAGCCAGCUACAUCCAAAUGAUACUUCAUUAACUAAGAAACUUGUAGUUGUACUGCAUGGUAUAUAAUUAAUGUAGUAAUUUAAUUAGUGGGAUUUGAUCAGUUUCUUCGUCCCUCUCUCUCCCUUUCCUUCUGCAAUCCUUUGCAUGCAAAGGGGUCCAUCAACGUCUCUUUCUGCUUCCACAAGAUGACAUGAACCUUAAUGAGGUUACAGAAUAAUCCCACACUAACCAACAAAACUGAAAGCUAGAGAAUCAACGCAUUUGCCACUCUCAUCGAUCCCAUAAAUUUCUCCGUACCAUUUUGCUCUUGCCCUCCAUUUUCUCUUUUGUUUUAUUUUGAAUGAGAGCCGCACCCGGCGCCACCACCGGAUGCCGUAACAUAACAUGCAUGGCCGGUGAUUGAAACAUGUCACAAUUUACUUGAACAGAGACAGCGAAAUAUCACCAUUGACAGAAACAUGGACAGAUGCUGAUCUAUUAUGGUCACGAAAAAUUGAAUAGAUUUACACGAAUUAACUUAAGGUGUACAAACAAUAGAGAGCUAUAUAUAUAUAUGCUAUUCUCUCUUCUUCUUCUUCUUCUUCUUCUUCUUCUUCUUUUUAUAAUAAAGAGGAUUAACAGUAAAACUCUACCUACCUUCUGGUGAUUUGAACCCAGAAUUGGUUAUCAACAAAGUUACACUAUUGUAGUCACAUAUACUAUAUGCUAUAUGUUCAUGUUACCUGUAGAUCACUAUGUAAAUAGAAUAGGUACAUUUUUUGCGUAAUUUAUCAAAAGAUUCUGAGAAAAUGUGAUGCACACGUAAAAUGAAAUAAGUGUACAAUGGGCAGUAUAGAGGUUUACUAGAUUGUGCUUAGGCCGUCAAACAAGCUUCUGAGGCUGCAUAAGCAAACGCAUCCACAAUGGCGGGCGCAGCUCACAAACAAAAAGCAGACUGAAGAGAGAGAGAGAGAGAUGGUUACCGGCCGCAAUGGCUAAGUCUAGUUCCGAUGACUAGAGAAAUGGACCACACAAACUCAUACUCACAUAUAUAGUAGUAUAUAUACCAUCAGCGGCUGUAGAUUUAUCAUCUUUUUGCUGUAAUGAUACAGGCUAGACACCUUUUAGGCUGGUGUCUCUUGGCCUUUGUUUGCAAUAAUUCACGAAAAUAGUUGCUGAGAAAUUUUUUUGGUUGAAACUGAAUUUGACCUAUCAUAUAUGUAUAUAUAUGCAUGUUAGCUACUCCCUAGGCACACUGGCUAGCUAGAUGGAAUCAUGUGUUUUUUGGUGAAAAUCUUGGGCAAAAGCUGUUAGUUAACAUGGACUUCACAAUCCCUAUACUUGGUAAUUUUGCAGUGGAAAUUCUCUCUUUUCCAUAUAUGUGUGUGUGUGUGUGUGUGUGUGUUUGUGUAGGGGCGCAUUUUAGGCUAAAGCUUUGUGUUACGAGUAGGGAUGUAUUCGAGCCGAGUCAAGAUUGAGUAUUGCUAUACUCAAGCUCGACUCAGCCUAUAAUAUAAUUAUACUCGACCUCGAUUGAAUCGGAGAAUCUCAACUCGAGCUUGACUCGAGUAAAUCUUUAAAAACUUGAGACUCGACUUGAUAAGGCUCGACUUUGAGUCAAGCUUAUCGAGUUGAGUAAACUGAUCAAUCGAGCUUUUUGAUCAAUCUUGUAAAUUCAGUAUAAAUUAUAUCCAUUACGGUCAUUUUACAAUUAUAAUACAUAUAUAUUAUUUAAAUUAUAUCUAUAUUGUUUAAAUUAUACUACUCAACGAGUAGCUCGUCAAGUCAUGAACUGUAAAAAUCAAAGCACCCGAACUCGACUUGAAUGUAUACUCGAGUAAAUCGAGACUCAGCUCGAACUCAGUUAAACCGAGUUCGAGCCAAGUCAUUGACUGAAUUGCAAGCGAGCCGAGCUAGUUACAAGAUAACAUGGCGCUUCAGAAGUUCUUUUACUUGGAUUCAUGCACAAUAUAAGUAUUUUUUUUUUCUGAUUUAGAUGACAAGGGAAGGAUGCAUUGAGGAUAAAAUGUUACAUUUAGACGCAAUGAUAAAAGGAUGCAAAUGAUAGCUUAACCAAUUAUUCGAGUUCUAGAGAUAAAAUCUUGUUCAAAUUACUUAAAAAGAAAAGAAAAGAUUUUUCUAAAAUUAGUUGUUAAAUCAAGACACUAUAAAAUUUAGUACAUGUUACCUUUUUAGUCUCACUCAAUCUUACAGUGAUAAGUACAAAAUAAGCAUCAACCUACUCAAAUUUGGCUUAAUAAUGUUCAUCUUAAAGCCUUUGCAUCUAACUAAGCCACAAACUUAAACAUUCAUUUCGAAAUUAUUUAAAAUUAGAACUAAACUUCAACAUAAAUAGGAUUUUUUCCCUAAUGGUAGCAAUAUUAGCGCAUCACUUUUGUCACUGACGCCCCACAAUUUUUUACAUGUUAAAAAAUGGUCAAGAAUGACCCUUUAAUCUUAUAUGUCAUCAUUUGAGAACUGACUCAUACAUAUUUUCUUAAAAUUAAAGGAAUUUGAAAAAUAUAAUAAUGUAUGUAUCACUAGGAUUAUUCCAUUUGGUGUUGCAGUACUUUUGCCGAAAAGAUGGCGGUCAUUAUUUGUUAGAUUUAGGAGUAGAAUUUUUUAUCUUUAAAGCACUUCUAACAUAAAUUCAAAAUUAGUGCUUUUAGAAUACAUUUUAUAUUUUUGCAAAUAAAAAUAACUUUCAACCAUUUUAUCAUAACUUUGAAUUGAAUAAAGAGAUAAGAAUAUUUCAAACACUUAAAACUAAACAUUGUGAAACACAAACUACACUUAUGUAAGUAUGUAUCCAAAAUAUAAUUAAGCUAAUGAUACCUAAUUAAUCAAAUGCUACAAACAAGUGAAUCUAACGUCCCCGAAAUAACAAUAGCUGAAUCUUGUUCCAUGAAUUCUUUUGGGUUGAAAAGUAAAAGAAAAACAAAUUGCCUACAAAUUCUUAUCUCUCAAAGAUUUUGAGGGUUAUUAUAAACAUAUUGUAUCGUCUGGCAUAUGCAAAAAAAAAAAAAAAAAAUCAACAAAUUAAGAAGCCAUGAAUUAAAAAUUACAAGUCUUUUGAUGUAUGAUCAGAUACAUACAAGAAAUAAAUAUUUCGAUGAAAUUUUCUUUUUAAAGUGAAUUAGCAUUGUGUAGUUGCAAAUUUUUUACUGCAGUGGCAUGUCAACUUCUCAUUACAAAAGAUGAAAGGCCUACGGACAGCCCUUUUUGCCUAUUGUGAACUGAGGCUACAACAAGGACACCAAAAGUUUUUAGAAAGAACGGAACCUUUUAAGUUUUGGUGAUCGGUCAGGGAAAAUUUUUAAAUUUUUUUUUUUUUGCCAGAACACAGAAUGUAAAUAUUAAGCCAAAUUAAUUUCUUCCUCACAAAAGUAUAUUUUGGCUUAAUUUCGCUGUUAAAUCAAGACAAAGCAAAACGCCCUUAGCCUAAUUCACUAAAUAACUAUUCUAUGCCGUGGUCUUUUUUUUUUUUUUUUUUCAUAUCUAUCUCAUAGUCAUAGUCUUGCCAAAUCUGUAUUUUGGUAAAUCAGAACGAAAAAGAAUACAACAAAAUUAUCUUGGUGGAGAUAAUAAUCUGUAUAUCCUUUGGGAUCUUGCUGAAAUUUCUGCUUACUAGAACCCGGUUGAAAAUCGAAAAGACCAAAAUAAAAAAAAAAAAAAAUUUUUUGGUCAUGGAAACCUAGAAUGACAAAGGACGAAAAAGAAAUGAAAGAAGAAAAGAAUUUAGUUCACUUAUUGCAGUUGAGAAACCAAACCAAACCAAAAAAAGAAAAAGAAAAGAAAAGAAAACCCACUAUUGAAUUGUACUAACGGUAGCCAUAGCAAAAUUAUAAGCUUUGAUACAUACAAAGGCCAUAGAAAACUAUGCACUAAAAUAUUCAUGAUUCAGCUACAACUAAAAGAUGUACCGAUUCCCCUAGCUAGGCUUGACAACACAGUGCAGCUUCCUCCUCAAUAAUUCUAAGUAUGUGGUGAACUGCACCAGCUAUGUCAUCUGCUGAAUUUAGUAAACAGCCUUCUUCCACCUGUAACAUGACAAAUCCCAAAAUUUAGCCCCCCAAAAAAACCCUCUCAUUAUUUUGCCUAAAUUGUAAAAAUACAAAAGUAAGUCACUCAGAAGUGUAAAAAUUUGAGGAUACCAUUUCUUAUGAUCAUCAAUGACCCCUAACAUAUCCCUUCUAAAUAGGCUAGAGUAAGAGUAGGGGCAGGUGCAGAUGCAGAGUAGACAAAUGUCAAUCGACCCAUAAAAAAAAAAAAAGAAAAAAGACCACAGCCUAACAUAUACCGUUGGAUAAAAGACCACUGGAAUGCCCAAUAUACCCAUUGCACUAAGUUUAACCUGUCUAUUCUAUAGAACCCAAUGGUCCAUGAUUUCUUCGAAUAGUAACUGCAGCAUGUGUAAACUUUAAAGUGGCAGCUAGCAUUCUCUAGUCAUUUUCUGCAAGAAAUGUUUGUCAAUAUCCAUCAAUGUAACAUAUCUGAAAUAGAUGCAAUUUUAUUUCAGGACUCACUCUUCAGAAUUAGGUAAGGGUCGAUAACGGUGUCCUGGACAGCAACACUAGCACGUUACCAACCAUUGCCUCAAAUGCAUAAGAAUAGACAAGUACUAGAUGUUAAGGUACCUUAGCACUGAUGGAGUAUAGGACCAAAGGGUCCAAAGUUGUGAUAUUUAGGUGAAGGAUGGUGAGGUACAGCGUCUGUAGGCCGGUAACCAUUUUGGAGAGCUGUCUAACUCUUCUUCUUGAAAGGAUUCUAACGUUUGCAUGAGUUUCAAUCAAAGUGACUUCAAUAUCUGCAAUUGCUGCCUUGCUCUUGGAUGUGUACUUGUUUGGCAAUUGGGCUGAGCAUGUGUAUUGAGGGUAAGCGAAAAAUUGAGCAAAUGGGGUUGGAGCUGGAGGAAAACACUUGUUCCCGGUGGCCGUGGCAAUGGCUGCGGCCAUGGUGGUGGUGGUCUUGUCAUUUGCUCCUCCAUGUUGCUGUAAUAGCAAGAACCUUUGUGCUUCAAGGGAUUGCAAGUGAUGCUCAAGCUCCUUCACAAAUUCUAUAGCACCACCAACUAUAGAGGCCUGGUCACCCUGCAAAAACCAAUCUUUUCUUAUAUUUAAUCUCGUGAUUAUUAAAGUGAAUAAAUUGAAUCUUUUAAAGUAGCAUGAACAGCCAUAAAAAAAAAAAAAAAAAGGUGGCAUGCAAAAACAGUGAAAAUUCUUAUUUCGAGAUUUGAAAGAAGCUUACAUCCAUCAUUUUUAUUGUGUACCAUCUUAACUUUUACCUGGACAAGAAAAGUACAUACAAGAAUGGACAAAAUUUAAAAAAAAAAAAAAAAUCUAAUGACAACCAAACGACCAUAGCUGCCAGGAUUGCCAUUUUCAAAUCAUUGAAAAUCAGCCACAAAAUUUGGCUUCUUCAAGUAUCAGAGACACCUGCUUAAGAACCUGUCUUAUUCUACAUUGCAAAUACAUGAAUGUUGAACCCCGUGCUGGAACGGGAAUCUUCACAGACACAAAAACAAGAACGAGAAAGAAUAUUUUGUUUUGUAGCAAUCAUGCUGGUAAUGAGAACGGGCUAGUACUCAGAAGGUCAACAGAAAAAAGCAUAACCUGUCAAGAAACAAUAAAUGCAUGCCUCAAUUAGAAAUUGCAAAUUAAAAUUAAACCUCACCAAUUAAUUGACUACUAUUCAAAUGGCAAAACAAAACCAAAAAAAAAAAAACGGACUAAGGGAAUCUCAUCUCAUCUUAAAUUUGAUUAAUAAAAUCAAUUGCCUCGUCAAAAGAGAUUCCAAUUCCCAAUUUAUAAACCUUACAAACCCUAAAAAAAAAAUUUAUUUAGAGAAGAACGAAGAAGAAAAAAAAAUUUAUACCCUUUGAACAUAGGAUUCUGGCAUGAGAGCACGCAAGACAGCAAGAUGUUCAUUCAUUUGUUUACGACGGUUUCUUUCAACAGCAAUGUGAGUCAUCCUUUGGGUCUCAGCUUCCUCUUUAUUCUUGCAAACUCUUUGCCUUCUCCUCCUCUUCUUCCUGCCUUGCACCGCCAAACUAUUCUGCUGCCUUUGCGACUGCACGGGAGGCGGCGGAGGCGGCAUGCAAGAACAAUUUUCUAAACCCCCACCAGCUUCGGCACCCCCACAAUUAUCAGUUUUCAGCCCUCCAUUGUCCAGCAAGAAGUUGGUAGAAUUCUCAUGACAAGAAUUAUUGCUGUCAUUGCUGCUGAAAGGGGUGGCGGAAAUGGUGUCAUAGAUGAUGAAAUUCAGGAGUUCAUUGGAGGAAAGAGCUUCUAGAGCCAUCAUCCCUCUUCUGCACUCGACCCAACUGUUGCUUUUGUGGGCAGAUGAUGAAAAGAUUACUCGAACCCUCGAGUCUCCCAAUACUUCUCCUACUGUUAAUACUACUAUUUUGACUACUGGAGUUGUUGUUAUUAUUAAAAAGACAUCAUAUCAUUCCAUUUUAUAGCAAAAGCAAAAACCCUCUAUUAUGUUACUAUGACUUAUGACUUGUACUGUUGAGAGUUGAGAGAGAGAUUCAGAGGAGACUUCCUUUUUCCUUUACACUAACUUUUUGGGAUGCAGAGAAAAGCUCAAAAAGCACACACAAGACUUGAGCAGUAACCUCUCACGUGCAUGUAUGAGACUAUUUGUAAUGGAUGAAUCCUUCCUUGCUUUAUCAUUCUACUCUUUUUUUUUUUUCCUUUGGUUACUGUUUAUUUACUUGGUUUUUGUUUUAUAACUCUAGAAGGAUAGAUAGAAAAGUUAGGAGACAAACACAAUUAGACACGUAUACAAUACGAUCAUACGCCACUUAUAAAAUUUAAUCGCACAGAUUGUUCACUGAUACAGUUGUUACAUCGAUAGCAGAAUUCAGAAAUACACUUCAAACUUUUUUAUUUGUCGAAAAAAAAAACAAAUUACACAAUAGUUGAGGAAAAUGGUUUUUUGUUUUGGUUUCCAAUUUUUUCAUGGAUGCUGUCAAAACAUACUGCCAAGGUGUCUGCAAGUGAGGAGUGUGAGCGUGGGGGGACCCAAAUCUAUGUAGAAAUAUGCAUAAAAACAAGAGAACAAGCUGUGCAAAAGCUACCCUUCACGUUCAACAUUUUUUAUUUCGGUUUGGGUUGGGAUUUGCAAGAAACGACUGGUGCACCGCUCGCGCCACACUCAGACACUCUAGAAAAUUGAGUAUUAUGUGAUUCCGUCUGUGAAGAACUGGCUAAUUGCAGUUCUAGUCCACUCUCCUUUUGUUUUGUGUUUCAGCCUAGUCCCAUUUUUAUUCGGUAUUAUUGGAUUUAGUCCCCUAUUUCUUUUUUAUUUGUUUUAAUUAAUGAGUCCUAGUAUGAGCACUUGAAAAGUGCUUAACCAAAGAGUGUUGAUAUUAGGUUGAUAUUAAAUGAAACUCUGCUAGAAAGAAAUUCAGAUUAACAAUGAGAUACUAGCAUUUUACCUACAUUUUGUGUAUGGGCAUGGCAGCUUUAACAUGUAAGGUAAAGACUCAAUAUCACUAGCAACUAGAGAGAAGGAAAAGUGGUACGAUAUAUUACAUUAUUAAAACAUUGAUCAGUCAAGAACAACAUUUGCCCAAAAAAAAUGGAUUGACUCUGAUGUCCGAUCAUUAAGAGCUUUUUGAAGUUAAAAAAAAAAGUUAAGUUGAAAUCUUAACGGUUACAGCAGUAAAAACUAUAAUUUACAUUUUUUUGAUGUAUAAUAAAAAUUCAUAAGUACACACUUUAAACAAAGAAUAAUUGUAUCGAGCACUAUCACGAGUCAGUUAUUCCAAGCAAUUGCCACUUAAUAUAUACUUGUUUGUUCCUCAAAUAUAAAGAGCUAGAUUACCACUUGUGCCUCAACUUUAGCUAAAAUUGUAGAGGAUUAAAUGUAAAAGACCAAAUGCUCAGGGACUCAAGUGAGAUUGAGUGCAAAUAUAAUGAUUAAAGAUGUAAUUUUCCGGAUACUACAAAAAGUACUGCAAAGUAUGUGUCUAAAAAAAUGUUUGGGCAGAUUACAUUCACCACCGAUCGAUAGUCAACAAAGUAAUGCUUAAACAAUUCAACCUUAUCAUUGAGAGCCAUUUCUAUGCUUCAUAUAUAUUAUCAGAUUCAGAUGGUGAAUGUUAUCUACUUUGAAGAAGAGGGGAUUGCAACAUAAUGGAUAACACACAAAGCCUAUCACUCCAUCAAUAUCCCUUUUGAAGGGAGGUGCCCCUCCACACCCAUUUCCACCGUUUUGUUCUUUUGGGAGGUUCUUGGAAAGGGCUUUAGCUCUUGACUCGAAACGUGGACAUCGACACAGGAAGGGCAAUGUUACGUCCAUUCUUUGACCUGUUACUAACAAACAUGGGAAAGGAACAAGUGGAAGUACUGCAAUAGAGAAAACUUCAACGAUUAUAGGGAAGUUAGAUUUUUUUUUUCUUUUUAUCUUUUUGGUUGCCAAUAAUUUGUUGAUAGAGGAUAUGAAAACAAAAUUUAACCCACUGGGUAAUAAAGUGAAGAAGAUCAUUAAUGACAUUAAGAACUACACCGGGCACACAUUCGAUUUUACCAUCAUUUCUGCCAAGAAUCUUCCAGUCUGCACCAUACAACAAACUUCCAAACUAUGCAUGAUUACUGAUUUGAAGUUUCGUGCUUGAUGAUUGAUGUACAAGGAGAGGCAUUUAUGGUCGAUUCUGUGCGCCUUAUCUUCAAUAACAUCGCCUUAAAAAGAAAUUCGUGAAGGCUUGUUUCAAUUACAAAGAAACAAAAGUCAUAAUUUACGAGGAUAAAAUUAGCUACAAACAGAUGAUACGUGAAGUACUACUACUUCGUAGCGGAUUCUAAAGGGUUAAAUUCUUGCAAAAAGUUGAAGGGUCAAAUUUUAUAACUGAACGUGUUCUCUAGAGAGACGAGAAACAUUGCCAUUGUUUUGGUUCCCUCUAACAAGAUGCUUUCGUCGACCUAUGGAGAUGUGCAGUCCUCAGUUUGGUCCCAAACAUGCAAAUUGACGAGCCUACAUACGUAUAUAUUUAUUUGGUUGGAGAGAAAUUUCAAACCCUACAAGAGCAAAAGGAAAAGAUGGAAUUUUGAAAUCGAAACAUAAACCUCGCGGUCACCUGACUAAUGUGUCAAUCAACGGAACUGGAUCUUGAGAUAACUGCGAUUUAUUUGCAUGAAUAUCAUGUGGGUUAUGGUGCCAAGUACUUUGCUAGGGUAAUACUAAAGCGACCAGCACACUAUGCACAUAGCAUUAAACGAGAACAAGAAUUGUCAUAACAAGAAAAACUAGUUAACCAUUAACCUGAUGUCCAGAUCCUAGAACGCAAUCAUAGGCUCUUAGCUAUUGAUACUUGCGGACUAUUGUAUCUACUCAAUCAUUUAAGAAUGCUCAAGAAAAUAUUGGGUUUUGGGUACCCAACCAUCUGAACAAGCUUGGUUCAAGCUGCUGAGCUUUCUCUUUUACGUUUAAUUUUCCUUUUCGGACCAAUCACGAAGCAUGACACACUGGAAGUCCGCUGUUUUGGUUGCCCAGUUUGGGUUGCAUUUUCUGUAGAAAGAAGGACACUAUAACUUUUUUUUUUUUUGGAGAUAUGAUGUAUAUUAGGUAAAAAAAUGAUUGAGAAUUAUGUUGGAAAAAAAUAUUUCCAAAAAACUCCGUCAAAGAUUCUUUUUUUCUUUCACAAAACAUGCAAUCCAAUCUUUUGUGGAUGAAGAAAGUAAAUGUCCAUCCAAAUGCAGCAAUAUUUUUCCCGAGUCUGGUUAAACCGUCAUGUGUUUUAUUAAGGAUGAUAGAAUUUUCACCCAUCAAAGCAACCCCAACAGGGUUCUCAAAUCCAAAUUCGAAAAGUAGGCCUUUGAAUUUAUCUAUUUUAGUUGCCUUUUAACAGUUAGAUCCCAAUAUCAAUGGCGUUUACCUUUCACUUCUUAUUUUAAUCAAUCCAUAUGUUUUCCUGCAGACAAUAUGUAGAUGUCAUUUUAUAAAAUUUGAGAGAUAAAAGGUAUUUCGACAGUCUCAUUUUAGGGAUCAUUUUGUUAAGCAAACUCAAAAAAACAGGUGGGAUAUGUACAUUUUAAUUAAAAGAGAUCUACAAUCAAAAUCAGUUUAUGUGCAUUUUGACAACGUGGUUUCUGCAUCUUUCAAAUGCUUAUAACUUUGUAACCAAUAAAGUAGUUGGCCACCAAUAAAGUCUUAAAGUUCUACUUCAAUGUAGGUCAAGGAAUAUAUUCUAAAUCCAAGAUUUUCUGAAAAAAUUUCGCCAACGGAUGGAUAGACACUCGUUUGGAACGAUAAUGACUUAGUUCUCCCAAGUUCCUCCCUCGACCCCUUUGAAUCCCCUCUCUCCCUAGUAUAGAGCAGUGGUAGGUAUAAAUCCAAGAUUUACUAGAAAAAUUUCACCAGCUAAUACGUAAGCACCCGUCAGGACUGGUGUUAGUUCAAUCCUCUUGGAUUUUCCCUUGACCUCUUUGGAUCCCCACAUCCCCUAGUAUAGAGUAGGAGUAGAUAUAGAUUAGAAUUUAUCGUGUCCGGCAAAACAAAAAAAAAAGUUGAUAACUUCAUAGUUCCAAAUAAAAUGGAUCUAAUGUAUGCCCAUAAACAUUCACGCAAAGGAUAAAAAAAGUAAUUAGACAGCUCCAAGUCAGGACUAGAUCUCCACAUGCAAGAAAGAUUUUUAUAAUUCCGGUGAAAUCACAUCAUAUUACCAAAUUAAGUAGAAUUCCAACCAGUGAAUUGUACAAGAAACGAACACAAGAACAUAAAGCAAAUUUGCAGCAAUCAACCCAAAAAGUUCUUAGUUACAUCUCAUCAGACCUGAUCAAAAAGUUAAUCAAAGCCGAAGUUGCCCAAAUGGACUCAACCGGACAGAGCAAAUAAACAAUGUUGUCAGUAUGAGAAGGGAAACAAAGCAAAAACACUGGGAACUGUAGCCUUAUCUGGAGAUGAGGGCUGAUGAGUGAUGAGAGAGAGAGAGAGGUUUGCGAGGACCACGGUCCAACCUGUCAGAGGCUCUGCAGGGGAAUCCAUGUGACGACCAGCCACCUCUUGGAAAGUACAUAUUUACCAAUCAUCCACAAAUAUAUAUUCACAUUGAAGUUAAAACUCUCUUUAAAAUUUGCUUUUGACCCAAGAAUGGAAGGGAAGGAAUACAUAUUGGCCAAUGCCUUUUUAGGCUUCAGCUCAGCCUUUAGUGUCCUUUUACUUUUUACUCUACUACUGUCUAGUAGUAGUACACUGUAGUACUGCUUAAUGGCUUUGUGGGUACGGAUAAAAUGCAAUCUAGCAUAGUAGCCAUGCACAAACAAUAAUGUUAGGAGAGAAAAGAACGUACAACCCAAACUCUAUGAGUUGUACGUGUACACAAACUCCUUAUAGGCAAAUGAUACUUGAGCUUAUGCAAUAGGCAAUUCAACAAGCAGAGAUGCAUGUGAACUUCAUUGUGUGGGCAACUUCGUUGAUGGGUUGGACACAAUUGUCUCAACCAGGUACUGAAACCCCCAAAGAUUUGAAGUCCAUUCAAGUCAAAGGGAACUCCUUGAGAAGCAAAUUUUUGUAGAACAUAAUUGUGACUGCCUCGUGGAUAUGAAAGUUACAUGGUAGAGAUAAAAUAAGCAAACUACAAGUUUAAAAGUUCAAUUGUGGCCCAAAAAGCAGUUAGGAUUCAAUUGGCAAAGCGGAAGCAAGGUCCGCUACCAAAAUUUCAACUUGACGCCAAAGAAGUAUGCACAUCCAACGAAAGCACAUAAAGUAAAUUGAUAAAGAAGCAGGAUGGCAAGGGCAGUGGCUGGUGAAACAAAGAGCGUGUCAAUGGACAAGUUCACUAACCCCGUCAGCACAUUAGCCUGCACCAUAAAGGCAAAUUUCAUUCCCUUGCGUCCAGUGGAACUCUAGAAACGCACCAGAUAUCUAAUAUCAAAAGAAAAUUGAAAUUAGGAAGCUUUUGCUCACCAGAAGAAAAGAUGCCAAUAGGUUUCGGUUAAAUGCUUCUUCCAGAAUGGAAAUUCUAUUUCCAGGUAUAUAAUCAGAAAGUGUUAAUAUGGCUAGUACCUGAAAGUUUGUAACAAACAUCAUUAAAAUAUAUCUUGUUCAAGGAGAGAUGCAAUAAGGAGCCUUUAAGAUGCCAAACAAGAUAUAAAAAUUUGAAAGCAGAAGUACAGCAACAGACAUAUCUGUACACGUGUGUAUGGGCACACACACACACACACAAAACGCGGAAAAUGUCUACAACAAACAAGUGAUUCUAACCAUUUCCAAUUCCCUUCCGCUACCCCCACACUUCUUCCGUCCUACACUUCUAAGAACAAAAAAUGCUCAUGCAGUCCUCAAAAAUAACAAAAAUGUCUAUCUAAAGAACGUUAUGGCCAAAUAAAAACAACCUGCAAGCUCCACAGAAAUCAAUAGCAUGUCAUUCUAACGUGAUUCAUUAUAAGGAAAAAUCGAUUGUCCAGAUUAUGUAAGUAUAGUGAAUUCGGAGUUGAGGUGGUCCAAAUCAAAGGAUUCCAAUAUGUAUACAAGAAAAAGAAGCUACUCCACAUCGAGCAAUUGCCCAUCAAUUGGCUUAAUUAAUCUAAUGAGAUUAUCAAAUAAUGAUGAAACAAAACCUAAUUUGACUUGAAGGUCAAUAACACAGUUUCCAGUUUGACAACCUCGACUUGUCAUGACUCAACAGAAAUAUAUAUUCCAGGCCCUCAUUUGCUCACUACAAGUAUCCCUCCAGCCCGCCAUACUGUAACUUACUACCUCAGCAAAAUACUAUUCAAAUAGUCAACCAAUAUCUCCAAACCUAAUUCAGUCACAGCAUUGAUUGCUCUUAUAUAUCAAAUAGCCAUGAGAACACUACAAUUAACUUAUUUUAAUAUUUUAUUACAUGUUUAGCUGAAAGUACCUUGCCUAUUAGUUUUGCUGCAGUACAUAUCCAAUCUGAACACAAUUUAAUGUUGUUUAUUACUAAGGGCAAAUGGAUAUACAUCCAAUGUCUAGGUGAUCCAACUCAAGCAUCACAUAAUCAAUGUUUGAGGUUGCAAGCAUAUCAUGACCAGCAUACUUUGCACAUAGCAUUAAACGAUUAACCAUUAACCUGAUGUCCAGAUCCUAGAACGCAAUCAUAGGUUCUUAGCUAUUGAUACUUGCGGACUAUUGUAUCUACUCAAUCAUUUGAGAAUGCUCAAGAAAAUGUUGGGUUUUGGGUACCCAACCAUCUUAACCAGCUUGGUUCAAGCUGCUGAGCUUUCUCUUUUACGUUUAAUUUUCUUUUUCGGACCAAUCACGAAGCAUGACACACUGGAAGUCAGCUGUUUUGGUUGCCCAGUUUGGGUUGCAUUUUCUGUAGAAAGAAGGACACUAUAACUUCUUUUUUUUUUUUUUUUGGGAGAUGUGAUGUAUAUUAGGUAAAAAAAUGAUUGAGAAUUAUGUUGGAAAAAAAUUUCCAAAAAACUCCGUCAAAGAUUAUUUUUUUCUUUCACAAAACAUGCAGUCCAAUCUUUUGUGGAUGAAGAAGGUAAUUGUCCAUCCAAAUGCAGCAGUAUUUUUCCCGAGUCUGGUUAAACCGUCAUGUGUUUUAUUAAGGAUGAUAUAAUUUUAACCCAUCAAAGCAACCCCAACAGGGUUCUCAAAUCCAAAUUCGAAAAGUAGGCCUUUGAAUUUAUCUAUUUUAGUUAGUUGCCUUUUAACAGUCAGAUCCCAAUCUCAGUGGCGUUUACCUUUCACUUCUUAUUUUAAUCAAUCCAUAUGUUUUCCUACAGACAAUUUGUAGAUCUCAUUUUGCAUAAUUUGAGAGAUAAAAGGUAUUCCCGAAAUUCUCAUACAAGUUUCUUUAGGGAUCAUUUUGUUAAGCAAACUCAAAAAAACAGGUGGGAAAUGUACAUUUUAAUUAAAAGAGAUCUGCAAUCAAAAUCAGUUUAUAUGCAUUUUGACAACGUGGCUUCUGCAUCUUUCAAAUUUGAUAACUUUGUAACCAACUACUCCUAGACCCUUUGGCCACCAAUGAAGUCUACUUGAAUGUAGGUUAAGGGAUGCAUUCUAAAUCCAAAAUUUUCUGAAAAAAUUUCGCCAACAAAUGGAUACACUUUGGACCGAUAAUGACUUAGUUCUCCCAAGUUCCUCCCUCGACCCCUUUGAAUCCCCUCUCUCCCUAGUAUAGAGUAGUGGUAGGUAUAAAUCCAAGAUUUACUAGAAAAUUUUCACUAGCAAAUGUGCAAGCACCCGUCUGGAUUGAUGGUGAUUCAAUCCUUUUAGCUUUUCCCUUGAUCUCUUUGGAUCCCCACACCCCCGUAGUAUAGAGUAGAAGUAGAUAUAGAUUAGAAUUUAUCGUAUCCGGCAAAACAAAAAAAACAAAGUUGAUUACUUCAUAGUUCCAAAUAAAAUGGAUCUAAUGUAUGCCCAUAAACGUUCACGCAAAGGAUAAAAAAAGUAAUUAGACAGCUCCAAGUCAGGACUAGAUCUCCACAUGCAAGAAAGAUUUUUAUAAUUCCGGUGAAAUCACAUCAUAUUACCAAAUUAAGUAGAAUCCCAACCAGUGAAUUGUACAAGAAACGAACACAAGAACAUAAAGCAAAUUUGCAGCAAUCAACCCAAAAAGUUCUUAGUUACAUCUCAUCAGACCUGAUCAAAAAGUUAAUCAAAGCCGAAGUUGCCCAAAUGGACUCAACCGGACAGAGCAAAUAAACAAUGUUGUCAGUAUGGAAGGGAAACAAAGCAGAAACACUGGGAACUAUAGCCUUAUCUGGAGAUGAGGACUGAUGAGUGAUGAGAGAGAGAGAGAGGUUUGCGAGGACCACGGUCCAACCUGUCAGAGGCUCUGCAGGGGAAUCCAUGUGACGACCAGCCACCUCUUGGAGAGUACAUAUUUACCAAUCAUCCACAAAUAUAUAUUCACAUUGAAGUUAAAACUCUCUUUAAAAUUUGCUUUUGACCCAAGAAUGGAAGGGAAGGAACACAUAUUGGCCAAUGCCUUUUUAGGCUUCAGCUCGGCCUUUAGUGUCCUUUUACUUUUUACUCUACUACUGUCUAGUAGUAGUACGCUGUAGUACUGCUUAAUGGCUUUGUGGGUACGGAUAAAAUGCAAUCUAGCAUCGUAGCCAUGCACAAACAAUAAUGUUAGGAGAGAAAAGAACGUUCAACCCAAACUCUAUGAGUUGUACGUGUACACAAACCCCUUUUAGGCAAAUGAUACUUGAGCUUAUGCAAUAGGCAAUUCAACAAGCAGAGAUGCAUGUGAACUUCAUUGUGUGGGCAACUUCGUUGAUGGGCUGGACACAAUUGUCUCAACCAGGUACUGAAACCCCCAAUGAUUUGAAGUCCAUUCAAGUCAAAGGGAACUCCUUGAGAAGCAAAUUUUUGUAGAAACAAUUGUGACUGCCUCAUGGAUAUGAAAGUGACAUGGUAGAGAUAAAAUAAGCAAACUACAAGUUUAAAAGUUCAAUUGUGGCCUAAAAAGCAGUUAGGAUUCGAUUGGCAAAGCAGAAGCAAGGUCCGCUACCAAAAUUUCAACUUGACGCCAAAGAAGUAUGCACAUCCAACGAAAGCACAUAAAGUAAAUUGAUAAAGAAGCAGGAUGGCAAGGGCAGUGGCUGGUGAAACAAAGAGCGUGUCAAUGGAUAGGUUCACUAACCCCGUCAGCACAUUA